RNAcentral lists this long non-coding RNA (59141 nucleotides) under Manihot esculenta (cassava). Its description in RNAcentral is "long non-coding RNA (MESC_LNC008419)". Lineage: Eukaryota; Viridiplantae; Streptophyta; Magnoliopsida; Malpighiales; Euphorbiaceae. The record is from RNAcentral.
UACAAUCUUGCCUUUAUAUACGACCCAUCAUGUCCCCUCAUGCCUCAUAUCCAACUCUCUUUCCUACUCUUUCUUUGCUACUUUAGCUUCUUAGCAACUAUGCUUCUAGCAAAAAUAUUUUAGCUAGAGCUACUACCGUUCAUUUUUUCUUUAUCUGUCAAGAUGAUAGGCACCCACCGGCAAGGCUCCGGCGGCUUUGGCAAAGGCUAUAAAGGAAGUCAUGGGUGGCUGUGCUGGCACGCUGAAGGAGGGGUAAUCUUUUGUGUAUAUAUUGAUGAAACGUGAUGGCAAAAGAACAGCAGAAAUAGAAACAAGGCUUUGCAAUUGCACUCUCCUGAGUUUCUAGCCCUAGUGAAAGGGCAGAAUUGGGAGAGUGACAUUAUUGCAUCGCGGGGAAUUGAGGGUAGCGGUCCGAUUUACCUUCCUUUUAGGUCUUAACUUUCUUUUUAUUCCUUGUUUAACCUUAUGUCUUCCUGUUUAUUUACAUCUUUGCCUUUUCUCUCUCUCUCUCUUUCUUCUUUCUUCUUUCUUCUUUCCUGGUUCAUGUUAUAAAACAUGGGAUGUAAGAGUUGCAUACGAGGUAGCAAGCUAAGGUAAGUUUUCAUAGAAGCGUAGGUGUUGAAUUAAGGUUGAUUUCAGGGUGUGGAAAUGCUUGUAAUAUAUAUGCUGCUGGGCAUGCAUCGCUUACACAUAUCAUGUAUUUGCUUUGUUUUUAUGAUUUGGUGAUCAAAGAAAAUGACUUCACUUUCCCUUAACUUUCUUUCUCUGCGGUUUUGUUUUCUCUCUUACAUCACAGACAUUCGAUUAUUCUAUUAGUUUACAAGUCAAACACUUUAUAAAAAAUUUCAUGCUAUAGAUUGCACGCAUCCGUUCUAAAUAUGUGUUAAGAGAAAAACAUAUAAGCUGUGAAUAAUCGUUGUCAAGUAGAGAUUUGAUGGGAGCAUAUGAUACUUUGAAUUGAUGAAAAUUUUAUUUGAUCCUUCAGAACUUGUGGCUUAAAGCACAGAUAUGCAGCUGGCCUAAGCUUAAAUAUCUGUGCCUUGAAUUGUGAACUUGUUUGCAUUUUGUGUUUUAGCCAACUCUCCAUCUUUAUUCAAAGUAAAAUCAAGAGGAAAUCCUUCAGCAAAAAAUGAACCAUUUGACUGAUAGAAUCUUGGGUUUACAAAAAAAUUUGUAUUGUAUUUAUCACAGGUAUAAUUAACUAGUCAAACACUCAUUUUCAAAAUUUCGUAUUAAAUUGCACUCCAAGGCUUAGUCUGGUGAAAAGUGCAUCCUGUAACCUUGAAAGGUCUAAGGUUCGACUCCCCCAACCCCUAUUUCAAAAAAAAAAAAAAAUUUCGUAUUAAAUUAUUAAAAAUUUACUAAUUAAUCUCUUAAUAUCAGCUUAUUUUAUAUUUUUUAUAAUAUUUAAAGAUUAAAAUUAACAGAAAUAUUAACUUACAUACUUUUUAAAAUAUUAUAGACGUUACAAAUACAACUUCUAUUACAACUUCUAUUAAAUUUUAACUUUUUACUUUUAAUAAUUUAAAUUUUAUAUAUUUUAAUUUUUAUUAUCUUUGCUGAAUUUGAAUAUUAAAUUUAUUAAAAUUUUUAUUUAUUUAUAGAGAUUGAAUUUAAAAUUUAAAUUUCAAGAACUAAAGUGUUGAAUUUAAAAAAUAGAGAAAUAAAUCUGUUAAUUAUGUAAUAUCUUAGAGACGAAAACAUAUUUUUUCUUUUAAUUUUUUGAAAGAAAAACCUAUAAAUUUAGGAGAAUUAAAUUUCAGAGACUAAAAUAUUGGAUUCUUGUGAUGUGUUCUAAAAAGACAGUUCGAUCAUUUUUAGUGAUAUUUUUUACGGAGAAACUUUUAAUUUUAACAGAAUUAAAAUGGAGGAUGAAAGUAUUACAUUUUAAAAAUAGAGAAACGAAUUUAUUAAUUAUGAUAUAUUUUUGGGUUAAAAAGUAAUUUUUCCUUUAGAAAAUGGUAAAAAGUAUUGUCCUUCUUUUCUUCAGAAGAAAAGUAUUGGCAAUUACAUUAUUGCCGGUUGCCACAACCCUUCUACAGAGUUAGUGGCUGCUCACAGAUUCAUAUAACCACACUAGGCCAACUGAUUAAACUGUGGACACAGCAAAAGUUGCAAAAUAUUAAUAUUCAACACAUUUCCACUCGCUUAAUCUUAACAAAGCUUAUCCAUAAGGAAUGAAGUCCACUCUUGUCUGUGUGAAAAAGAAAACAGUCUGAUCCAUUUUUUAUUCUAAUUCUGUUUCUUACAAUCUCUUCUCAAGUAAAAGGCUACCUUAAUCCCAGUUCUUGGAAGCCAACUGUUGAGGCAAUUCCAUGAACACUUGGUAAAAAGAGCUUUGGUGUGCAAAUACAGACACAGGACACGAGUACACAAAAUGGAUAUGCAUGUCAAGAAGCAAACUCUCAGCACGAUAUUCUAUUUUGCUUUGAAAGAUUGGCAAAAACAGAGAUUUAUCUGUUGCAUGUAAAGAUGAGGACAUUCAAGUUGUCUGAAACUUUUACUGAGAGCUUUUUCAGCAGCAAAAAUACAGGACCUGGCGGAGCUAAAGGAUUUGGACCUUUUGGAAGUUAUCAAAUAACAAGAAGAGAUAAACACAUUAGAAAUUCAUCUAUAUGCAGUGGCUUAAAAUUAUUUAACAGUUACUUAUUAUUUGCCCUUCCCCUUCUCAUUAUCUUCUGUAGAUAACAACUGUUAUUCUACACGCUGUGCUCCACUGUUUCAGAUAUCAGCAACUCUGUCGAAGAAUCUGAUUGAGGCUCUUCCACAGCAAUGUGAUCAGGGAAAGACAAAGGACUAGGAGGCAGUUGCAUAUCAUCAAUGCUACUACUUAACAUUUCCACAACUUUGGCCAUCAAUGGCCGAUCAGAUGCAUUCUCUUGGAUGCACCAUAACCCGACUACACAUAAUUUUUUUGCUAUUGCAGCCUCGGUCUCACUAACAUUGUCAAGCUCUAAAUCUCCUUCCCCGUUUAGACGGUCAUAAACCCACGAUGGGAAAUAUACUUUGCUUGAACUAUUUCCCUUUGCAUCAGUGUUCCUUCUUCCUCGAGCCAUUUCCAACAAUAACAUUCCAAAACUAUAGACAUCUGAUUUGCAAGAAACAGCUCCAAGGUUGUUUGACAUCAACUCAGGAGCAAUGUACCCCAUAGUUCCUCUUGCAGUACUGACCAACACAAAAUCAUAUUCUUUGGGGUAAAAUUUUGCAAGACCAAAAUCGGAAACUUUAGGGAUGAAGUUAUGGUCAAGCAGGACAUUAUGAGGCUUGAUAUCAAAAUGAAGAAUGCACACAUCACAUCCUGUAUGUAGGUGCUCAAUUCCUUGUGCUGUCCCUACAGCAAUUCGAAGAAGUCUCUCCCAACUCAAUGGCUGAAGUUCUGUUUCUCCAGCAAAUAUGUACUUAUCAAGAGACCUAUUAACCAUAUACUCAAAGAGAAGAGCACGAUAAGAUCCAUCGCAACAGAAUCCCACCAACUGUAUUACAUGAGCAUGAUGAAUUUUACCAAUUGUGAAGACUUCAUUAAUGAAGUCUACAUCACUGCACUUGGAGUUGCCGAGCAUUUUAACAGCAACUGAAAAGCCAUCAGGAAGUUGUCCUUUGUACACUGUCCCAAAGCCACCUUGGCCUAAUUUAUCUUUGAAAUUGUCUGUAAUUGCAAUCAAAUCAGAGUAAGAGUACCUUCUGGGCAUCAAGGAUCGUUGACUCGGUAGAAAGUUCUCCUUGUUAUCUUCAGCCUUCUUUGCUGUUCUGUGUCUGUAAAUUAGGAAUCCAACUAUAACUAUUGGAGCAAGGAUGAAUCUCGCAAUCAGAUUUAUGCCUGACCGAGCAAAAGAAGGAAACUUGUUAAUUAGUUCAAAAACAUCACAAUCACAUUGUCAAGUGCAAAAUUUUCAAUUUGGGAUAAUUACCUAACAAAAUAUCCCAAAUAGCAUAAAUGAUACUUGAAACCAGAGGGGGUACAUGUAUGCCUGCACAACCACACAAGAAAUGAAAAAUUAAGUCCCCACCAGCACAAAUCAAGAAACAAAGUCGUACACCAUUAGAGAGUAGUUGAAGAAAGAAGGAAUAUCAACCUGAAAAGUGGCAUUCAUAGAUAUUUGGUGUACCCAAUGAGCUCAAACUGCAGGAACCACCGUCUGCAAUGCAAUCCCGGCACUCAACAGACCAUUCAAGAUCAAACCCUAACGCCAUCAAUUCCAAGAUACUUUCAUAAGAAGGGUACCAUACAGCCUGGUAAAUUGUGGGAACCCUCGAAGUGAAGGAACAGUAACCUUGAAGAUCAGAUAUUAUAUAUGUGCCAUAACUAACAUAAAAAUGAGAACCAUUUCCGCUCAAACAAGGAACUUUCCUAUAAGCUGGAUCAUUGAUCUCGCUUGAACAUCUGAAGAAACUGGCAAACGUACUAGAUACCAAUCCCCUAUAGCGACUAUCAUACUUUACCUCAUUAAUUGAUACUGACUUGUACGGCAGGUUGCAGCUACCAUUGGCUAAGUUAAUAUCAACCAGUCGGAUUAUAUGCCUGUCAUAGGAAAUUUGCUUGACGAAAUACUUCCCUGAGUGAAAUUCCAAAAUGGGUUUGUUGUCCUGGCAAGAAAUUUGAUAGUCUGGAUCUCCACACUUGACUGGAUCGGUGGUUAGGCGAAAUGGGUAAGUGAUGUUGGUGAGAUCACCACACGAGGAAGAGCAAAUUUGUUGGAGAACUCUUGCUUCAACUUCAAUUGUAGAUAGAAAGAUGAAGAGGGAAAGCACAAGAAGAGUGGAAAUCGUCGGUGACUCUUGCUUUUUCAUAGUUAAGGAUAAGAAAUUCAGAUGAGUUUUCAUUUCAGCUGCUAUCUUCUGACAGCAAACUGUGCUUUAGCGGAGUCUGUAGAGUGGAGGAAGUCUAAACUCAUCAGUGGGUUCAAGUGCUCAGUUGAGUGAAAUAUUAAAUACAUUUUAAUAAAUUAAUUAAUAAUAAAUUUAUAAUAUAUAAAUUAACAAUAAAUUUUUUUAAAAAUAAAUAAUUAAAAUAUGUAUUUUUAUUAAUAGAAUGCAAUAAUUAAAUGAUUCAGACUUAUAUGAAUCUGAAAAUUCUACUCUUUUCAUCCUUAAUUUUAAAAAAAUAAUAAUUAAAAUAAAUUUAAUUUAUAAUUUACAAGUAAAAUGAAAAUAAUUAUUUUAUUAAUAAAAUAAUAUUUAAAGACUUGACAUGUUAAUCAAGCAAUUGGACCUGUGGAAACUGGAAAGGUACGUGGUCUUUGCAAGAAGGGACAGAAGACCAAGACUUCUACUCUUUGUUUUUUGUUUUUUUAUCUGACAAUACUUCUACCCGGUGGUUGUCUAUCAAAGUCGAUUGACUGAAGGGUUUCUCGGAACUCUCUUAUAAAUAAAAAUAUAACUUGAUUUACUUACCUAAUUACCCUUUUUAAUCUUAUUUCACUCAAUAAUAUCAUAAAAAUUUAUAGUUUUGAAUUCUGCAUCUCAAUUUAUAUUGUUGUGUCUAUGAUUUUUUUUUUAAAGGAUGUAUAUACCAUAUAUUAAAAAUAAAAUAAAUAAGAUUAUUUAAAAUAUCUAAUGCGAUUAAAGAUAAAAAAAAAAAAUUUGUAUCAUCUUUACAAUGCGAUUAUAUAGGCAUUAUUUAUUUAUGUUUAUUUGUAUGGGAGUUGGGCUUUAAAAUUUUAUUAGGAUACCCAUUUUGCUUGCAUUUUCAAAGGGCAUUGAAUAUAAGAUCACCACUUGUGGGCCUUCUUCUCCUCUACCCAACGACAGUGACCUAGGUUCAUGCUCAUCAAUAAGUCUUCACUAAGCUUUCUACGUGACUUGAAUGGUUAAAAUUUAAUGGCUAAAUAGUUAGCUUUUUGCGCAUUCUUCCUUCAGCCUUAAAUAGGAUGCGUUGAGGACACAUCUCAAGUGAAGGCUGUAGGCCAUGCAACUAGGACUAUAAUUGAGGCCUCCUCGUAGGUCCCAUCUACGCCUCCAUCCAAAAUUAAAUAACUUAAUUAUUAUUUAUUUUAAAGUAUUUAUUGAUGGUUUAAAAAAAAAAAAAAACAACCUUCAAAUUCAGAAUUUUAUUUAAAUUAAAAAAAUAUAUAUUUGCUUGUCAAUACAUUGCAUCUGCAGCGAUCAUAAAUUAUCUGAAUUGUAUUUCAUUUUGGCUUAGAAAGAUCAAAAGAAUUUUCCCUUCCCCUGUAUAGCGAAAUAUUUACCUAAGACUUAACAAAUAUGAUACCAAAAAAUUAUAAAAAUUUUGAUUAUAUAAAUAUAUUAAUUGGUGUUGCUGAAAAUACUUUUAAAACAUUUUUAAUGUGAUUUAAUAAUUUAUAAAAAAAUAAAAGCGAGAUGAUUAAUAUUUAAAAAUGUCUAUUUUAAUAUUUAAACUAAUAAUCUAUUUGAUCGAGCGAGUGAAAUAAUAAAUAAGAGCAACAUAAAUAAAUAAUAGAAUGUGUAUUUAUUUGAUUUUACACUGAAAAUUCAAUUUACACUGACAAAUGGAUAAUAAAUUUCAUAAUAACUCAGAUUAUAUGAAUUAUUUUAUAACAUUCUAUGAUAAAAAUAAAAAAUAAAAAUUAUAAUGACUUUACCAACUCUCUACCGAUUUUUGUCAAAACCGAACAUCCUUAAAUCAAUUACCUUAAUUUCAUAUUUUUAAAUGGUCAAUAUCAAAAAUAUCUCACUUGAAUUAAUAAAAAAUGAUCGGCGUAUAAUACAUUCUAGACGAAUAUCAAAUCAUAUCACUAAUAAAUUUAAUAAUAUAUAAUCUAAGAAAUUAAGUGACAAAGGAUAUUAUUAUUAUUAUAAAUCAUACUUACAAUGUAUAUCAAUGUUAAGAACAAAAUUAUUAUAUUUAGGUUCUCUUUGUAUUAUCAAGACUAUUUUUUAUAUUUUUAACGCUUAAUACAUUUAAAAAAACUAUUAAUAAAAAAUACUUUUAAAAAAAAAUUAAAUUAUUUUUUAAAAUAAUAAUAAUAAUAAAAUCAUUUAUACACUUUGAAAAAUUUUACAUAUAAAUUUGUUACUAUAUUUUAUUUUUUUAAAUUAAAAAAUAGUCUAAAUUGUUAUUGUACUUUUGUGUUUGUUAAAAUUAAUUAUUGAAUCACUAAAUUUAAAUUCUAUACUUUUUUAAAAAGUUUAAGAGUAGCCAUUAGCCAAUUUUUUAUUUAUUCCAAAUCAUAACGCCUGAAUAAUAUAAAGAUUUAAAAUUAUAAAAAUUAUAUAAUUUAUAAAAAUUAAAUUAUAUAAAUCUUUUCAAAAUUUAAAAAAUUAUUUUCUUUAAUAAAAUGACUAAAGGUUUAAUUCACAAAAUAUAUAAAUAUUUAAUAUGAGAAAUUGAAAAUAAAGAUAAGUAGUCAAUUGUGAUGAAACACUAAUAAUUCUCACUCUGUCAUAUUUUUUAAAUAAAAUUAUUAUUAUUAUUAUUUUAAAAACAUUUCAUUUGAAUGAAUAUUAAAAAUUUUUAAUAUACACAUUGUUAUAGUUAAAAAAUAAUUUCCUCUUAUUUCACCCGAUUUUUUAGUAUAUAUAAAAAUAAAAAUAAUAUAAAAUAUAAUCUUAUUUAAAAAAUUAAAAAAAAUUAAUCGAUAAAUCAAAUCAAAUAAAUUAAAAAUUAAAAUUUUAAUAUUUAUAAAAAUUAAAUCCAUUUGAAUUAAAAAUCAAAUCAAAUUAAAUUAAUUAAUUCAAUUGAUCAGUUUAAAUUUUUAAUAAAUUUUUAAUAAAUUUUUUAUAUUUUAUAUUUUACACUUUACUUUUAAUAUUUUAAAAUUUAAUUAAAAUAUUUUAAAAUUAAAUCAAAUCAAAAUAAUUUAAAUUUUUAAAAUUAAAAAUUAAAUCAAAUCAAAAUUUUAAAUUAAUUUAUUUCAAAAUAAUAGUCAUCCCUACCCACAUCCUUACACAACCCCUUGCAGCUACCCUAUCCAAUUACACAAUUUCCUUCUUUUCUUUUUUUUUUUUCUUUUCUUUUCUUUUCUUUUUUCUUUUCUUUUGUNNNNNNNNNNNNNNNNNNNNNNNNNNNNNNNNNNNNNNNNNNNNNNNNNNNNNNNNNNNNNNNNNNNNNNNNNNNNNNNNNNNNNNNNNNNNNNNNNNNNNNNNNNNNNNNNNNNNNNNNNNNNNNNNNNNNNNNNNNNNNNNNNNNNNNNNNNNNNNNNNNNNNNNNNNNNNNNNNNNNNNNNNNNNNNNNNNNNNNNNNNNNNNNNNNNNNNNNNNNNNNNNNNNNNNNNNNNNNNNNNNNNNNNNNNNNNNNNNNNNNNNNNNNNNNNNNNNNNNNNNNNNNNNNNNNNNNNNNNNNNNNNNNNNNNNNNNNNNNNNNNAACGGGGGAGAGAAGAAAAAGAACCCGUAGCCAUAAGGUAAGAGCUCUCAAAAAGAAGAAAAAAGAAAAUUCAAAAGCGAAAAGUGGAAAAAGAAACUGCCUUCAACCACCGUUGAUCGGCUGAUCAUACCUCAUCUCAUCAACAUCCGCCGAUCGACAUGCAAUAAACAUCAUGACCCGUUCGCAGCUUUAUCUCAUAGAAAACCAAUCCAUUAAAUCCUCACCCACGCGUUUCCGUGUGAAAUCGACGCGCUCAUCAGAUACCAGCGGCGACCGGCAUAGAGGACAGUUGAAAUUGAGAUGAUCAAGCCAGCCAUCAAAGCAUUCCUUGUGAAAAACAUGGCAACAAUCAAGCUUCCUUACCUGGUCCCCAUCUCUUAAGGUGGACAAGCACACCACACAAUCCGAUCCCCCCUUAUUGGCACUAUUAAAAUCAUCUCCGCCUCCACAGCAGUACCUGUAAGAGAAAACGCGGUUGAGAUUAAGCUGCUCGGCGAGGACGAUGAGGCCAGCGAGUCCAGAGCCCACGAGGCCAUCAUCGACUACGGCAUGGGAAGGGCCGAAACGCGAAAGACCCAAGGAGUGGAAGAGGGCGAAAAGUAAAGAGCGGAGGUGAUCGACGAAUUUAGCAACGACAGCUAGCAACAACAACGGGAUUGAAUCAGAGGAUACGUCGUUGAGGUGGCUCUGUAAGCCCAUCUUCUUCUUCUUCCUCUGGGUCUUGGUCAGCUAUCGGCGUGUUGAAGGGAAAGAGAGAGGUUGGGUUACUUUUCAUAGAAAGCAAGGGCUGUGCAUAUUUAUAAGCAGUAAAUGAGAACGGGGAAGUCUAAAAAAGGUCGUGGAGAGGUUGAAGCUCGCGGGUCUCCUAUUCAGUGCGAGAGAGAAACAUUGGGUCUCAUUCUCAUCAAAUGCCAUGUGUGGUGGGCCCUGUAGAAAAUUGUCUUUUUGUUUUAUUUUUUAAUUUAUUGUAACUUGUAAGGAUGAGAUGUCAUUCCAUGUACGCGUAUUUAUUGUAUGCUUGUAUGUAUUUUUCUUAAAAGCAUUUUUUAUACACGUAUGCUAAUGAUUCAUUAAUAAUAUUCAUGAAAAUUAUUAAUCAGAGAGUUUUAAUUUUACGGUAAAAAGAGCUUUUCCAGAAUAUUCUGAGAAGCAGUUACUGGAAAAGAAAAGCCAUCGGCGGCAUUAAUUUGUUGGAAGUUGAACUGCCCUGUCCUUUCGAUGACUGUAACUUACAAGCAAGGAAUUCCCUUUUGUUUUCUUUUUUAUUUUGCUACAUGUAGGAGAAAAAGUUAAAAAUGUAAUAGAAGCCAAAGAAUGCCGCAACUUUAGUAUCCAUGCCAACUUGUUUCUGUUUCUUUCCUUCCAGAAGCUAGCUUAACCCCUCACCCCAAGUUGUUUCAAAUGAAUUAGCAGUCACCAUGCACAAAAAUUCAUAUCUGCAAUAUAUAUUGUCUAGACAUUGGUGCUUGUUCUCUCAUAGAGAUGCUGCGUUAUAGGUGGUAAUGAAUAUGAAAAUAUUAAACAAAAGCAAGCUUGCGUCCCCCAUGCCUCUUGCCACAUAAAGAAACCGACAAAUCUACUUUACUAAUUUGAGCACUCCUGCUUUUUAUUAAACUAUCGAUGAUACUGCCAAAAUUAAUCUAUUCAAAUUUUAAUUUCUUUAUCUAUAAAAUUUAAUUUCAUAAUUUAUAUAAAAAAUCAUAAACAUUAGUGAAUUAUUUAUAUAAACAGAGUUUAGUAAUGCAUACAAUACAUAAAAUUGAAAUUAAAUAAAAAAUCAACACAAAUAUUAUGUUUUAAAAAUGGAAUCGAUUUAAGUUUAAUUAUAUAUUACUUAAGUUAAUAUUAAUAAAAUUAAGUUAAAUUAGAUAUUCACAAAAAUUUAAUCAACAAAUAUCCCUAAAUUAAAAAUACUUCUUUAACUAGCCAAACAAACAGAAUUCCAAUACGUUUAUCUAGCUAUUAACAAAAAGAAAAUUAUAUUAUUUAUAUAUUAAUAAUUAAAAUAAUUUCAUUUCAUUACUUUGACUGUAACUUUUAAAUGUAUAUUUUUAGUCACUGAAAACAUAUCAUAAUAUUGAUAAUAUUUGAUAGGAUAUAAUAAUAAUUUAAAAUAAGUAUUAAUUGUAAUCUUGAAAUAAGUUUAUAUAAUCAGAGUCUGAUGAUCUAAUAUCUAUUUUUAUUUAUAAAAAAAAAAUUUUAAUACCAUAAUAUUUGAUUAUUCACUAAAAUUCAUCAUUUCUUAAACAUACUGAAUUUUCUAACGUAAAAUUAUUAUUAACAGAUAUAAUCUAAUAUAUUUUUAUUAUAUCUUUUAUUCAUUAGUUAUUAUUUGUUGAUUUUUAAAAAAUUUAAUAACUAGCUAUGCAUUUUUUCAAUAUAAACAUAAAUCAAAAUACAUAUUUUUACAUAUUUAUUUUGAAUUAUAAAUAAUUCAUUACAUUUAUUCAUUUUAUUAAUCAAUUGACUUGACUGACCGUCCAUAAAUAUGAACCGCUUCAUAUUUUUUCUUUUACAUAUUAAUUAAUUAUAGCUCAAUUUCAUUGUAGUCAUCAAUAUAAAAUUAACAAUAAAAAUUUUAUAUAAAAACAAUAUAUUUUUUUAGUAAUUUAAUUUAGUGAAUUGUAAUAAUUUCAUUAAUCAAUUUAAUUUGAUAAUAUUUAAAUUGAUGAUUUUAUAUUAAUUUAAAAUUAAUUAUUUUUAAAAUGCUAAUGUUAUAAUUUUAAAUUUCCAUUAAAAUUAUGGAAAAAUUUGAGCUUGUAUGAAUAAAUUUAAUAAAUUAAAUAUUUAUAUUUAAAUUUAUUAUGUUUAUUAUAUAAACUUUAAUUAUGUUAUUAGACUCAUUUUUAUAUAAUAGGAAUAUAUUGAAUGUAACCAUUAAAAAAAUAAUAUUUGCAACUUAAAAAAUUUAAACUCUAAUUAUUGGACAGAAGAGAAAAUGUCUUAUACCACAGGGCUGUGGAGUUAUUAUCAGAAAUUAUCUUGAUUCAUGAAUAGCAAUGUUGUCACUUUUUACCGUGCUUUCUCUCUUGUAGCUGAAAUUUAUGCUUUGAAAUUUCUUUGUCAGAGAGACUUCUCUCAAGUUACUGCUGUUGAGUUUCUUCUGCUCUUAUCUCUUGAAAGAUCAAAAUCUCUAUUGAUGAUGUUCACACGAUUUUAGUCGAUAAUCUAAAUUUUAAUAUUGUUCAUAUUUAUAAAUUAGCUGAUAGGUAUGCAGACUGGAUGGUCAAAAAUGCAAAAAAUUGAUCUCUCCCGUCCGGUGAGCUUCUAAUUCCCUCGUGAAUUGAACCUUCACCUCUUUAAGGAAUAUAUAACUGUUCCUCUCCCUGAAUAAUAGCUAUUUUUUCUCAUAAAAAAAUUUAAUAUUUAAAUUGCAUAAAUUAUAAAUUAAAAUAAAUAAAUGAAUAAAUUAUUUGUUGGCAUAAUUUCCAACGGAAAGCAAGUGUGUUGAAGACUUGGCGGCUUGGGCGGCGGAGAGAGACAGAAGGCAAUUAUGCUCCGACUGAGAGUGAGAUUUUGAUUCAUCUUUGCUCCGCUAAUUUACAAUUUAGUCCUUAAACUAUACUAUUUCUAAAUUUUGGCCAUGGAAACUAUACGAUAUGCGAUCUCCACCCUCAAUUAAUCUCUAUCUGCGUAUCCCCGUCUGCCUAAUUUCCUUUAUUUAAAUAAACAUUACUCUUUUUCUAACUAUAUCACGCCCAACUUUUACUUAACUUAAUUAAUUAUUUCUUUAAUUUUUCCAGCUUAAUAAUUCUUUCUAACUCGUAUAUAUUCAUAAUAUUCAAAUUUAAUUUUAAUUUUAAUAAAAAUAAUAUUUUAUUUAACCUCAUAAAAAUAUAUUUUUUUUAAAUUAAAUAAAUCCACAUAUUAAUAUAAAAAUAUUAAAACCUAUUAAGCUUUAAUUUUGACAUAUGUAUAUAUAAUUUAUGCAAAUGUAUUUUAAUAUUUUUAAUUACAAUUAUAAUAUUCCUAUACGUAGAAAAGAAUUAAUAUAUUUUGUCUUCUAGAAAAAUUGUAUUUUUUUUUUUUUGAAAAAACGUCAUUAUCAAACGCGUUUUGGAAGAGGUUUUGUUUGGUAGGUAAAAAUCCAGGUUGUUAGAUACGCGGCAAUUUAGGUUUAAAUUAAACCCUAAUAGUCCAUUCGAAGGAAUUAAUUUUGGGAAAUCGUAUUAAACAUAUAAAAUAAAAAGAAUUUUCUUGAAGGAUGAAGCAGUCAAAAAUAUAAAAUAAAAUAAUUGAGUAGAUAGUAAAUAUCUUUUUAAUAUUGGGGAAUAUAAAAUAGAAGGAAGUUUCUUGAAGGAAGAAGCAAUGAAGAAUAUAAAAUUAAACAGACAGGAAAAGCUCACUCUCAAAAUUGAAACCUAAAGAAUGUAGAGACACUGUGGUCCUUCACUCUCUAUUUCUCUCUUCUACUGCCCAAUUUUUCUUACUUAAUUAAUUUAAUUUUAUAAAAAAAUCAAUUAAUUUAAUGAUGGUGCUCUAUCUCAAUCAGCCAAUAAUACAAUAAUAAGAUAAAAUUUGGUUUAGAAGAGUCCAGAUGGAAUUUGAUUGAUUCAAAUGGUGAUAGUGAAAUUAUUAUUUAAUAUAUUUUUAAAAUUAAAAAAAUUACUUUAUGAAAAUUUUUAUAUUAUUUGCUUUAUUAUUAUUGUUAGGCGAAAUAAAAAGGUGAAUUUUUGUAAGAAAAUAAUUUGGUGAGAAAAUGAGUCCAGAAGAUUCUAAGAUAAUUAAGUAGAUGAAAACUUCUGCCUACCAUUCAUUGUACCUGCAAGUAAAAAUAAAUAAUUGAAAUUAUAUUAAAUACAAAAUCAAACCCUAAUUAGUCAAUAUGAAAUUCUUGAUUACUUGUUUACCCAAUAAUUAACAAAAAGAAAAAAGAAGUUUUGAAUAGGGAGAAAGAUAGAGAAAGAAAGCGAAAGGGGGACAGAAAAAGCUGUUCAAAACUUGUAUGGUUGCUCUUUCUAAUGGUGGUUUUUCAUUCCCUUCGUUGUGAUAUUUUGUGUUUUUCUUUCUCUGUUGCGGUAGAGAAUAAGUAUAUUCAUUGAUUAGAUGAGAGUGAGAAGUCAGAUUUACCUCAGCGACAAGCUUCUUCGAUAGCAAGGAAAGACUUCUGCUCUUUUUCUGGAUGUUGAUUUCUAGUUUGAACCGGUGCCUUGUUGAAGAUUUCUGGUUGGUUGGUCUUCUUCCCCAUCGUUGACGAUGGUUUGCGGUGGGUUUCUCAGCCAGAGAUGCAGAUAGCUACAACAUGGCAAAUGCUUUUAGGUUGUGAUUAGUCUGAUUGAUUUGAUCUAUAUUAAUCUGAUUUUUUUUUCUUAACUAUAAUUAUAAAAAAAAUGAUUUCCCAUAAACGUAAAGAUUAUUAUCUAUAACAAUUAACGUAGAAUUACUUUUAAAUUUAAUUAUAAUUAUAUUAUUCUUUUACAUCUUACAUAAUCAUUGAUUAAUGUAACUUUUUAAUAAAUUCUUUAAUUGACUAAAAAUAUAAAAAUUUAAAUAUAUAUUUACAGAAUAUAAUAAUUAAAACCAAACGUAAAAUAAUUUAUGUUAUACAAGCAUAAAAUUUAAAUAUAUAAAAAAUAAUAUAUUGUUAUUUAUUAUUAUUAAUUUCACUCAAUACAAAAAUUUAAAGUUUAUUUUUUAAAAUUAUUUGGAGAGAAAAACUGAUUGAUAUUCAUAAAUUAACCUAAUAAUAUAAUUGAAGUAUAGAUAUUACAUAUAUUAAAAAAUUAAAUAUAAAAUAAUAAUUAAUUAUGAGUCUCAAUAAAUUUAAAAAAUUUUAAAUUUUUUCGAUCUCAAAUUUUUAUUUUAAAAAAAAAUUAAUUAAUAAUAAAUUACUCUUGAUAAUUAGUAAUAUAUUUAUCAAAAACUAGAAUUUAUCUAAAUUUGUCAUGAAUUUUUCUUUUAAUAUUUUAAAUUAAUAUUUCUAAAAUUAUAAUAAUUCACGCACAAUUCAUUAUAAAAUUGCAAAUAAAUUUUGAUAUUUGAUAUAUGAAUAGUUUAUAUAUUAAAGUGAAAUAUGAAUUAGAGGUUUAUAUAAAUUUAGAAUCAAUAAUUUCAUAAGAAUUUAAUUUUUUUAUUUAAAAAAAUAUUAAAUAUUUUAUAAAAAGAAUUAAAAUUAUUUACAAUUUUAUAAUUUUUUUUUUCUAUAAAAUGAAUUGUGGUGAUAGAAGUCAAUGGAUGAGAGUUUGAUUGGAACUUGCCACCUAAAUGAGGCAUAGGUAUCAUUUUGGUUUGUGGGUCAUUGGAUUAUGAGUAAUGGCAAAGGAAAUAAUGGUGAAUUGAACCAAUCAAAUAAUUAGGAUGGAUUAUUGCAGUCAUAUUCAUAGAUUGUUGUGUUGGUUUGAUUAAGUUGAUGCCUUGAUAAGGGAGAGUAAGAAGAUUACAAAAUUGUAAUUGACAGGUUCAUGCACUCAGAGAAGUCCCAACCCUUGGGACAAGGUUCUUCAUACAUCAUAAAUUAGGGUCUGCAUUAGUAUUAUAGUUAUUUGGAAAUUUUCUUUUCAAAUUUCUCAUUUUCUUUGAUAAGCAUAAGAAAUUGGGCGGUAGACAUUCUGAUCCUUUUUCUCAUUUCAUCCACCAAACAUAUGUUCACAUUAUUCAGAAAUAGCAAAGCUAUUCAAAAAACCAUUACUAAAAUCCAAAAAAUCAGCCUGUAGACUUCACCUCAAGCUCCUCUAAGCUCCCCAUUCUGGACCUUCAGCCACUUUCAGGGAUAGCAAGGCCACACUCAACAAACAGUGAAACACAAAAUAGUGAUGAAUUUUUCUUUCUAUAACAAAAAUUACCUAGAAGUUCCCAAAUUUAAAAUUUACAAAAAAUUUCAGUUGAAUUGAUUUUUUUAUUUAGAAACAUAAUAAUUGAAAAAAAAAAGUCGAUUCUUUUAAUUAAAAAUCAAGCUAAAAAUAUUAAUCAAUUCAAUUUUUUUCUUACAUAGAAUUUAUUGUAAACCAAGCCAAGUCCUACAAUAGAAAGCGUUCGAAUUCAUCAUGAUGAUGGCAAAAUCCAGGAUAUUUACUGGCAGCGUUUAGAAUAGACACCAAUGUCAACAUCCUCCAUGAAACCUCAAGCUUUAUUUCCCUUUGAAGAACAUGAUCAGAUGUCUCAAGUCUAAACGUUACUUUAUAUUUAGUAUUAGCUAAAAGUUCGUGAUAGAAUAGCCGCCGAAUAUGAUUUAGACUGUGUUUGUUAUUAUUGCUUACUUUACUAUUGAAUAUAGUAUCGUAUUGAAUAUAUUAAUAAGGGGCAUUAAAAUUUAAUUCGGAGUUGAACCAAAGUAUUUUAUUUAUAAGAAGCCUAAAAAAUAGUUAAAUGCCUUUCUUUUUGGUAGUUUUUAAUACAUUCCAAAUUGGAUGGCACAUAGAACAGUGUUGCAGUGUACAACUUUCGAAGGACCAAUGCACAAUAUUCACAACUACGUACAUUAACGCCUUCUCUUGCAUUAACAUCAAAAGAUUAGCAAAAAUGUAAUUUGGACAAAAAAAGAAGAAAAGAAAAAGAAAGCCUCUGCGUUGACGAAGAUGAAAAUUCUGCUACGCUGCAGCUUCACAAGCAAAGGAUCUGGUGAAAAUAACUCAAGAUGCUGAUAUACCAUUCCUCUUCAGCAAUUCCUGCCAAAUCACACACGAAAAACUUUAGUUGGUAGCCGUUGGAGCAAGUUUCUUCAAAACUUUUCACAUCUUCAAAUUGAAAUAUACUCUACCAGUUUGGUUGCAGUAAUUGACAGACGUUGCCUUUCCCUUCUCUCACGUCGGCACUCUCCACACCAGCUGGAGAAAUCCUUCUGAUAUUUUUUCAGCUCUCGGAAAACUGAACUGAAAAGGGGAGUAAAUAUUGAGAUCAAUACUAUUAUUGAUAGCUAAAACAACAAAUUGGCAACUUCUCCGACUCAUUUUGCUCCAGAACCAAGCCCGAAAUAAGAGAAGAGAACGCUAGUUAUGUUGAUAUCGAGCAUGCAUAGUAUGCCAUGGUAAAUGAAAAUUUCUUCCUUUAGACUGCUGCUAGUCUAAAACAAAAGCCAAUCAAUCUACAGUCUUUCAAUGUCUAUAGUUUUUCUUUUGACUCUCAGAUUACUCAAAAUUUGAGAAUUAGAUAGCAUUAUGAAUGUUUCAGUUAGUCCAACAACUGAACUAGGAGAAAAUUUUACAAAACUUAUUUCUAAGCACAUCAAUGUUUUUAUCUAUUAAGCUCCUAUGCUUUAAUUGUGUGCAAUUGAGCUCGCAAACUUUCCAAUUUAAGCACAUUGGUGACUUCUUUGGCAGCAGAAAUAUACUUAUGUAUAUAGAAAUAUAUAUUAUAAAAAAGGAAAUUUUCACAAAAAAAAAAGAAAAGCAAAGGGAACUGUUAAAGUUGGAAAGAAGGAAAAACUCAUUUGUAGAUGUUCCAGAUUUUGUUGGGCAGUCGUCCAUAAUGACUUCCCCUUUUUUAUUUUUAUUUUUUGGUGAUAAAAGGACGUCUCCAAGAGAUUAAGCACAGACGGCACGAGGAUAAACCAACUCCCAGAUUAUCAUGCAGAAUUUCUCUUCUUCAUUUGUUUCAUUUAUAUAGGAUCUCAGUGUGCUUAAAUAGAAAAGGAGUACAAUAAAGAAAACAGGAAAGUUCAAGGAUCUAGAAGCCGGUUUUCCCGAUACUUACAGCUAAAUUAGACCCCAUAAAUUCUUAUGCUCUAGUUAGCUAAGUACCAAAGCACAAACAAGAGUCGGUCUUAUUAGAAUGCUAACAUUAAGCCCUGCAUAUUGUGCUGAAAAGGAUUUCUUUUCAUAAAGGAAAGAUGCACAAGUCUCAUGCACACAGGACCAAAGAGAGAUACCUUCUACACCACAAAAUUAGGUUGCAUCGAUGCCCAGAAGUUGUAGCUCUAGCACCAUGCCGAUGGCGGCCACGAUGAAGUACAGCACGUCCUGGAACAUGGACAUAAUCCAAAAUUUCCUACAUAGAUGUGAUAAAUGAAUGGUAACCCUUCAGCUGCUUAAGAUGGCAAGUUAACCAAUCACAAUGGCCUUUUGAUUGCUAAGAAUCGCCAAAACCCAAGAGUUUUCUUUGAUGUUUGAAUUUAUAAAUCUUAACCUUUUCUGAUGCUUACAUGUUUGCCCUUCCCUUUUGGUACAUCUAUUUUGCCUUUUUGUUUGAAUAGAAAAACAUCACUGACCUUGGAUGCCAUUUUCUAGUUCAGCAUAGUUCCCAAGAUUUUUCUUAUAAUUUGUACGGUUGUACCAAUUGUUUGCAAUUAUGCAAAUACAAAAGGAUGAAAAUUUGUACAUACAUGACCUCAUAGUAGUCCAGCAUGAAUAAACAUAAUAGAACUAAUGUUGGACAUGAACAUACCUCUGGUUGAGUUUCACUAUUGACAUGUUUAUCACACCGUACACCACGAAAAAACAAUUCUCCACCAUAAAAUUGCUUACCCAAGCAAACAUUCAAGGUGACUUCCGAGUCAUCCACAUGGAAACCUAUAAAGAGAAGUCUGUUGAGAUUCCACAAAAGCUUAUGAAGAUACAGCUUUAAAAGCUGGGAAGUAGCACUUUGCAUUUGUAAUAGAAAGGGAUAACAAGAAAAUGUAGUCUAUAAUCCUAAAGCCAGAAAUAAGACUGCCGUCAGUAAAUAAACAAUAUCACCAUCCAUUCAAACAAAACAAAGUUCCAGCAUUGUUCUUGAUGUCAAACCUAGAUGACUACAACUAAGUAGUCAUAAAAAUAAGAGAGAACCAUUUUGUUCUAGGCUUUCACAAUAGAAUAAUUGAAAGCAGGUGAGAACAUGCAGAAACUUCUCAAAGUUUCUCCAACAGGUACAAAAUAAAAGAUUGACAGUAUAGUAAGAUAUACAACAUUAUUCUUAACAGCAAUAGAAGAGAAGAUUCAAGCACCUACCAAGCUCAACAUCCCUAUCCACUCCAUACUCAACUACAAAACCAUGAUGAGAAUCUAGAGUUAAUCCACCGACUUCAGGAAAGAAAACUACAAGGAAAUCAAUCAUAAAAAAUGAGUUCUAGAAAAGUAAUGGAACUCUUUAUGCGCAUUCUAAUUACUGGAAAUAGAUAUAUUACCCUUAGACAUGGGACGUAUAUAUUCGUCCAUCCAUUUGUCAAGAACAGUUUCUAGGCCAAAGUCAUCAAGAACAGCACCAUACUUGUUCAUUGUGUUUGGUCGCAUUAUUCUGAAUUUCGUCUCAUGAACCCACCUUUCAAAAUUUUCUACCUAAGUAAUCAGAACUUGAUAAGAAAGUAUACACACUAAAAUACAUGAAGAUUAUAGAAAAUAAGAAAAAUGACAAGGUACCUCAGACAUCAACAUUUCACAGAAACUUGGCUGAAGCAUUUCAAAUACAUAAACUCCUGGCGUGGGUUCCACCAAUAUACUUCUAAAACUCUCUUCAGUGUUUUCAUUAAUUGCUUUGAGAAAUGAGGGAACAAAGAAGUUAACAGCAUUCAUAGUAUACAGCUCCCUAUGUAAAGGCUGCAGAAAAGAGAAAGUGGUCAAGAAAUAAAACAAUGUAAAGAAGCGAAAAAAUAAUAUUCACCCUAUGCUAUAAAAAAAUUGAAAAAAAAAAACUAUCAAAAUCCAAAUAGCAGAUAGCAAAUCAAUUUUUUCACUUUUCACCAAUCUAGAUAUAAUUGCAUAUAAAAAAUGAUAGUAUAGCCAGGAAUAUUUGAUAUAUGAAUUCGUCCAAUCCUUUCCAAUAUUUCCAAAAUAUAGCUAAAAAGACAUGCACAAAUAGCGAGCUUGUACAUAGCAAGCAGUCAUACAUCUAGAAAAAUUUUGUCAAUAGAAGCACCACUUUUUGACCUAAAGAUUUGAAAAUUCAUGCACUUUGCAAACCUAUUCAAUUUUACCAUAUUAUUUUAAUCAAUUUGAUUCAUAUAUCCUGAUUUGUUUCUAUUAUAUCCAAUGGAUAUGGGAUGUGUAACAUAGCAUUGAGAUGGGAGGGCCCUUCCAAACCCUAGAAGACCCAAAUGGUGCCAAUUUGGAAAUAUGAAUCACAAAAAGCAUGUAAAUGGUUUCACUGGCAGGAAGGAGAGAGCAUUUUAGCAGAAAGAGUAAUUGUUGGGUGGCUCUUAGGGCUUAGGGGACCCAUUUAUUUCAAGUAAGCUAGUUAUCUUUGCAUUACACCUCAAGGCUAUGCCAGAAUGGGCACAUGCCCCAAACUCAUUGAAUACAAUUAAAAGUAAAUUUGUAAAUUAUGAACCAAUGAUAAAAUUGAAAGCAUAUCACAAAAAAAUUUAUAUAUAUAUAUAUAAAGGGUCUAGGACAUUUUCAGACUAUUAGCCCAUCAUUUUUUAAAAUUAUUAUAAUUACUCUUAGCAUGGUUUCAUAUUGUCAAAUGUUCGAUAAUAUAUAUAUAUAUAUCUGUUUGUUUAUGAAAUCUAACAGCCAUUCAAACACUUAUCACUUAUAUAAUUUUGAAUAGAUUAUUUAUGUUCAAAAGAGAGUUCUUUUCAUUGGAGAAAGAAAGAGAAAAAGAUUUGGGGAUAAAAAUAAAAUGUAAAAUGAAGGGUUUGAGCAUUUUUUUUUAAAAAAAGGUAUAUUUCAAAGAUUAAAUAGGCCAAACUCUGAAGGUUCAUCUUAUUUCUGCUCUGUACUUUAGUAGCAUCCCAACAGAAACUAACAUAACAAUUUAUAUUAUAAAGCAAGUUAAGCACAAUAAGUAAGCAACUUAAGAGACGGAGUGGAUCUGAGCAAUCUACAAUAUUAAGUGGAGGUAUAACUUGAAAAACUUCAGUGAGUGAAUAAUUGAAAAUGACAUAAUUACACAAUUUCUAAUGAGGCAAUGGGCCACUUGGAUCAAUAGUAGAUCUAGCCCAAUAGCAAGAAAUCUAUGCAAUAAAAACAGCAUUUGCAGACAACCUUUAAGAUUACAGACUUAUAGCAUAUAAGCUUUUCUAAACCAAGAAUUGGAAAAACUAGAGCCAUGAAAUCCAUAUAUCCAGAAAUAUAUGAAAAAUUACCAAACUAAUUUGAGCAUGAGACCCCUCCAUUAAAUUUUCCCCAUGGAAUUUACCUGAUAGUUUGAUAUAAUCUUUUGCCUGUAUUCUCUAUGUUUUUGAAUCUGCCAGUUUACAGAAAGAAGCAAUGAGCAACAGAUUUUGACGGGCAAGAAAUACAGCAACAUGAAAAAAUGAUAAAUAAAAUAAUUAACAAGCAAAAAUGGCGUGAAUUUACAUGAAACUUAUCGACUUCCAAGACAUUUAGAAUGUGCGGAAGUUACGUUGACACCAUUAUUUGCAAUUAACUUGAGAAGAGAUUUAUUUCUUAUAGAAUCAAUGCGUCAAUUGAUAAAAAUUCAUAAUGGAAAUUGCAAGGAAUUAGAAGAAAAUAUGAGUCGGAGUACAGAUAAGAAAUUUCAAAAUUAGGAAAAAAUAAAUAAAUAAAGCCCAUUCAAAUACCAAGUUCACCAUAAUAGGUGAUGGAAUUAUCCAUCAGACACAACAUGUAGAGGAUAUCCUCAUAAAAUAGUAAAAGUGUUUAUCGGAAACUACUUUCAAGAAAUAAAUAAUAAUUCCAAGCCAGAGCUCUAAAAUAACACUGCAUUUAUUCCUGGUAUAGCUAGAGUAGAAUUUAACUAAAAUGCAGAACUUGGUCUUGUACACCAAACAGAAAAUGGUGAACCAUAUUGCAAAUCAUUAAAGCAGAAUAUAAGUUAUCACUAAUAACUUUUUGAAUCAAUAUUCCAACUUAGCCCUAUCUUCAAGGGGGAAAUUCUCAAUUUUCAUGUACUCCCUACUCAAGCUGCAAAACUUAAAUCUCUCUCAAGCACCAUGCUGUCAAAAUUUUCAUUUCUCUUGCAUCCAAUUGCUCUCUAUUCCACAAAUUACAGUACAGCUUUAACACACAAAUGUAUACGUAUAGAUAAUGCACAAGUAAACGCACAAGAAUAGCGGCGCAAAUCAAGAUACUAAAUUGAUGCAUACACGAGUGCGUUCACCCUCGGGAGAGUAGCGAACGAGAAUGUCCCUCAUGAACUGGAUUUUAGCUUCACGUGACAUAUUGAGCAUGGAAGGAGGUAAGUACCGCUCCAGCGAGCUGAACAGCAGAGGACUGAAAUCCGAUUGCAGGUCCUCAUAGCUAUCGGGUUUGUGAUCGGUGAUAGGAUUCAACCUCAGCCUGUGAGCCACCUGAGUAGACAUUACGACACCGUUUCCAUUUCCACUGCUCUUCUUAUGCGCAUCCAGUGACAUUGUAUGAAUAGCUUUAUUGAUUUUGUUUUCACAGAGAGAGCUUAUGGUUGAGAAUAUGCAUAUAAAUUGUUUUUUAACAGAGGCAGAGGGUGGAAUUAGGGUUUGUUGAGUGAGGAAGAUGAGAGAAGCAGGUGGUUUGUGUCGCAGGUUAGGGUUUGUAAUUGCCUUUCUGUUCUGUGAGUUAGUUGGACUGGUUGGGGUGUGGCUCACAUGUGCCGCGAAUCAGAUGAUGUUUUAGCACAUGCAAGUAUAUGGUUGGUUGAAUGCAUAUAUCAGAGUUCCCAAGGAGCUUUCUAGAAUUUGUAGUGUCGGAACCGGAUUGAACCGGCUGUUCGAAGCGAUUCUGUCCUGAAUCAGUAAUCAGUUUUAUUUAUUUUUUAGUUUACUUUCUAAAAUAACUUAAAUUACUAUUUUUUUUUAUUUUUGAUAAAAUUAAAAUACAUAAAAUGAAACAAUGUUUUUUUAAAAGUUCAUUAAGUUUAAAAAUUUUUAAAUUAUUUCAUAAAAAUUCUUUUAAAAAAAUAAUCAAAUUAAAUUAAAGAAAAAUUACUAUAAAAUUCCUAAAUAUUAAUUAAUUUCCAGUUUUAAGGGGGAAUAAUUAUAAAUAUAAAAAAUGAACCAUUCUUCCCUAGUCUCGUAGACCAAGAAUCCAGUGUUUGGCAAAGAAGAAAAAUAAGAGAAAAGAAAUGAAAUGAAAUAAAAGUUGGCCUUCUAAGUUUUAAUUAAAAACCAAAAUUUUGUGAAACAAAAACAGAGAAAGAAGAGUAUACAAAGCUAUUAAGCAGAAAAAUCUCAAUGCAGGUCGAUUGACUCUGCUGGGUUAAUUCUCAGAAAACUCUCUCCCUAAUAUAGUAGCUAUCGCAUGGUGUAGAUGAAUCAAUAACUUGAUAAUUUUUAAUCAGCUCGUUCAAGGCUAUAUUAGCUCGGUUUCAAUCUGUUGGGAGACUAUGCUCCAGGGGAUACAUUGUUGUGCCUCUAACAAAAUUUUGAUGUUCAACAGCAGCUUUUCUGAGACUGGAAAUAUUUGUGGAUCUUUUAACCUGCCUUUUUUUUAAUGGAACAUGCGGCCGUUGGGUCUCCAGAUCCUGCUCCAACCCUCCUCCAUAAUUCAAAGCAUGCCUAUUAUUAAGCAUGGCGAUAGAUAAAGAAAAACUUGGUGGAUUGGGGCUGGGAUAUAUAAAAUCCUUCCUUAUAGUUCUAGGUUUCUUGGAGUACUAAAAGAGAAGUGGAGAAGAAGAAGAGAAAGCACAAGAAGUCUCUGAUUGAAAGAUGAGUUGACGAAGGAGAUGAUCGAAUAUUUUAUCGCAAAAAAAAAAUCAAAUUUUCUUGAAUUUUUUUGAGAGGGAAGAGUUUAUCAUUAUAAAUUAGUCUAGAGUCAGGAUUUAUAGGUCUCUCAUAAAUUUUCCAAUUAAAAAGAUAUUUAUGAUUUUUUUUAAAAAAAACUAAUAAAUUUCGUUAAUAAUGUUUAAUGAAAUGAUUAAAUAGUUGUAUUCAUGAUAAUUUAAUUCGCGUUAAGAAUUAUAAAGACCGACUAAUUAAUUUCAAUAAAAUUUAGAAAUCCUAUAAUAAUUUUUUGAUGUAAUGUCCUAGACAAUUUUGAAGACACCGAAAAACAAUACUGAAACCAAUGAAUGGGAAUUCAUUAAUUCCAACCAAUUAACUGAAAUAUAGAACCAGUGAAGCUAAGUCAACAAAAAUUAGGCAAGCUGGCCUAAGAAGAGCGUAUGUGUAGAUCACCAAGCCAAGCCUAACAAACCAGUUUGGACAGGUGAUCAGUCUGAUCCAACCGGUUGUGAGUGGUCUCUUCAAGCUAGAAUUUUACACUGCAAGCCAUGGAACUCUGGACAACAAACUCAAAUCCACUGCUUAAACAAAACCUUACCAUUUUCACCUUCCAACAAAGGAUAUUACACAGCAUUAGUACAGGCAACAUCAACGGACGAUACAAGGCCAGGAACACUCUAUUUCUUUUCUAUAUGUCUAUUUAGGUUAUUUACAUCAUGCCAAUACGAAUAGGAUUCUUACUCUCUAUGCCAAAACAUGAUACUUUUCAUUCAGGAGCUUGCUUUGCUGAUAGCAUAGGCUCAGUACAUGUCCUAAGCUCGGAGAUUUUAAGACCUACCAUUGCAUUCCCAUCAUUUGUCUACUGUAAUGCUGAUUUGGUGCUCCAUUAAACGGGGCCCAUUCGGGGCAGUGCAUCAAAUUGUUGUAGGUUGAGUUGAUAUCACAUAUGGGUGAACUCACAUGCCCAGCAAAGUUAGCGGCUUCUGCAGAUUGAAGCAGCAGUAUCAUUGCCUGCUGUUGUUGCUGGGAAUAUGGCAUUUGCAAUUGUUGAGGAAUCUGUGGCAUUGGUGGCAGCUGUUGAUUGCUCAAGAGAUAAGCCAUGUCUAGAAUAGUUGGUCUCUGCAUUUGCACCACUCCAGUGCUUCCAUGGAUUGCAAUUUGAUUCAUCAUAGCUCCCCCCGGACAUUCUGGUGCACGCAGGCCUAGUGUUGCUAAAAUUGAAGAGUGAUCAGGCAUCAUCCCAAAGCAUUGUUUUCUGGAACUGGAUAUAUUGCUGUCAAGAUUACUAAACUGAUCCAGGUUUCCCAUCCACGGGAUUUGUCCACUCUGUAGAAAAUUCAUGGCGCCUCCCAAGGCCAUAACACCAUCACCUAGCUCCCCAAUAUCACCAUACAACUGCAUCGUAUCUACACCACCCAUAGCUGCGCCUAAUCCUCCCACUGAUGUCUUUUGAGCAAGUUGCUCAAACCGUCUCUGUCUUUGCAUCAUCUGAAACUGUAAAUGGGCAUCUUUAUUAAAAAACUCUGGACAUUGUGGAUUUAUCAUUCUCACUUGUGCAGCAACGUCAGGCUGUAGUUUGGAUAAAUUAUUGGACAAGUUUUGGAUCGGCAACUGGAAGUUUGCAGGGGGUAGCAGGUGGUUUCUAGGUAUAAUAUUUUGGGAUGAUAAUUGCCCGGUGUUACUGUUAAGGGCUAACAUUCUACUCUUCAUGCAAGGAAGCAUGGAAGCCGCUUGCCCUGGGAUUAAUGUUGGGGAUGGCCGUAGAAGGGAUCCACAUGCUGCAGGGUCACUCCCAAUAAAGGCACUACUAGACUCAUCAUCAGAACUAAGAACCAUAGGCUCUAUCUGAUCUCUGGCUAUAUGGUAUCCUUCUUUCGCUAUCUGCACAAUUAAGAAAAAUUACGGUACAGUAGAAGCACAAGACAAUUCAAUAAAACAUAUCCAUUAUAAUAAACCUACCAAUGACUGGAAAUGAGCAGCAAAGAGGUCUGCAAAAUGCUGCCAGAUGAAUGAAUAUAAACGUUAGAAUUUUACUUGAACCAGCUCAUUUUUAGGCUCCAUUAAGUGCAGAAGAGUGCCAAAUAAAAAAUUAAUCAUGUUACUGCACCAAAUCAUAUAGCAAUAUGAUAUGAAAUUAUGGCUUCCUUAACAUGUGAAACAAUAAACAACUUCCCCCAGUUAAAUAACAAACAUUGAAGAAAAUGUUGUCUUGUCGGAGUUCUCAAAUAAAAGAGCAUGCAAACAGAAAUGCCUUCAAGAAACUCUUGGUCAUUAAACAAUUUUUUGGUGAGAAACAAAUUUAGUUAAUAAUUGUAAGGGGGAGGAUAAGGUAUCCUCUUCAUUUAAAUAAUACAAAACAAACUAGCAGUGGAAGAAGACAAGAAACAAAAGAGGGGCAACCUCUAAUCAAGCUGAGCAACACUAAGAGAGUCCUGUGAGAGCUCCUGAAGCACCAAUCCAAAAAGAAGCCAAGAAAACCACUAAAUUAAAGAACAUAAGCAUUUUGAAAACGGAAGCAUUGUCUCCAUUCAAAUACCCCAUUGAAGAAAUUUUUAAAAAUACUAAACAAUGGUUCUAUUCCCAAAUGAUUCUUCCAUCACCAUUAAAUUUGAACGGUUAAAUUACAGGAGUUGGCACAUUUGAGAUAAAGAUGAAAAUAAAAGACUAUUUUUAUGAUUCAGGAGCUUACUUCAAGUUCCAAAUGGAUCAUAUUGCUAAUCCAAUGACACAGGAAGAAGGCAACUGCAAAUAAAGAUUGAAAACUCACAGUAUUGGGACAGGCUGGUAAAAGAGGAAAACUGAUGGAAUCUCUCUCUUCUUGUUCAUAAACAACAGUUAUUUCCACCUUUCCCUCAUUGAGAAUCUCUGACAUGACCAGUUUAACCUGGGCCCCACUAUCAUUCUGGGAAAUUUCUUUUCCUGGCAGAAAAUCAUUUAGCAGUACAAAACAUAAUAUUCACAGUGAAGUAAAUAAAUAAAUAUAAGACAAAAGUUACAUACUUUGAUGAACAUAAGCUUGGUGCACAAAUGUCAAUGUCCUGGUCUUGGAGCCGUUAUGUUUCCUAUCUAUGGAGCAUUUUGAUAGAGGAAUCCUACGAGCGGUAGCAUAUUUCAACCUUCUGUCCUCAGAAUUAGCAAGAUGGAGAGCAACCAAAGCAAUAUUAAAAAAUUGUUUACUUGGCAACAGUUGGUCCAAUUUACGCUUCUUAUCAUUCAGUUUGUACCUAAAUGCAUAAAAGUAAUGCUCUAAUCAGUGCCUGAAAGAUAAAAUAUAUCAGACAUUUUUUUAGCACAAAAUGUGAUUACAGUUUGGAUCACACCUUUGAGUCACGGCUCCAAUCUUCACAAACCUUUCAAGGCAGGGGCUCGCUAAAGCAGAACCUGCAUCAGCAGUAUGUAUCUUUCUGGUGCUGGCAAGUGAAUUAGUCAUCCUUAUACUUGAAACUCCGGGCAGAAUAUUCUUCUUUUGCCUUGUAGGUAAAGAAGCCUCUCCCAAUAAGGACUCACCUUGAAACAGUCUUAAUGAUGCAGUUCUAACAUCAGAAGUUACUUGAGGACUAGGCAAAACUUUCUCGGUAACCAUUUCAUUUCUCAAAUUUUUCUCAACAGUGUCAGCAAGAUGGCUAUUAGCUCUUACUAAUAAUGGUGAUUUUUCCAAUAGUUGAGGAUGUUUAGAUGGAUUACAUCUCAUAUCCCCCACAGAGGAUUUAUCUUUGAUCUUCCUAACAUCUGAAUUGGGAAAAUCAGUAGUUUCACGAGGCUCUUGUUUCACAACAAAAUUUAGCAUUCCAGUAGGCUGCUUUGGGUUCCCUUCAACAAUUUCCUGUUGACCUUUAUUUUUCAAUGGCAAAAUUUCUCUCUGGUCACUAUAUCUUUCAUGAAUAUUUUUCUCAGACCCAAUUUUUUGAUACAGCAGAUUGUUUUUCCUAUGUGAUGCAGGUGCUAGACCAAUUUCAGCUAGAUUCCAAGUAUUCUGCAUCAAUGUGAAGUUAGGUUCUUGCAUAGGUAUCUUAAGGAUAGGUCUUUCAAAUGAUUGUGCUUCACAUUCACUCUUCUCAGCAGGAAGCGAAAAAGUAGGUUCUCUCUGGUUUCUGUUGAUGUUCAUAGAGGAUGAAGACAAAUCAACUGCCACAGUUUUGUUGCACCCAUUCACUGCUUGAUAGAUAUGAAUGUUCACUUGUGCAACCUUUCCCGCUAGUAAAUUGGGGAUAACUCCUGAAUUUGGGACUUCUAUACCUUGGUAUGCUAAAUCAGAUUGAAAAUUGGAAUCCUGUGAGCCGCUGCUUACCAUACUUGGCAAGCAGAUACUGUUUUGUGAGUUGAAUUUUGGUAGAUCACUGAGCUUUCUCUUUUUCCAACCAUAGGUGAUUCCCAAACUAAUCUGCCAAAAAUACCAUCUGUUAGCAAGUAUAAUCCUUGAAAUUUAUUAUACACGGAAAAAGACUAUAUUGAUGUUGCAACCACAAAUUCAAACUCUCAAAAAUUACAACUGUGAAGAAAAAGGAAAAGAACACUUACCUGUGACAAUGUUCACAGUUCAUUGCUUUAUAUUCAGAGAAAAUAAUGCACACUAAAAACAGAAGGAAAAAUCACUAGGCACAGUAAUGGGAUGUUGUACAUGUAAUAAUGAGUUUCUGCUAUUCCUACUUGUAAAAGAAAAGGGUCAGUGUCACUAAAAAUUAGCACUUGUAAAAAACUUCAGUGUAGGCACACUGCCCUACCAUAUCAAAUUUCUUUUGUUUCUCUGUCUAUGAAAUUCUGUUCGACUUGCAUGUGUAUUUAAUAGAGGACCCAAACAAAAAGGGAAUAACGUUUCCAUUAGAAGGAAAGCGUUAGAAAGAGAAGGGAAGCCAUUGCAAUCAUUCUACAGUCAUUAUCAACAAUUCAGAAGCUUAGUAUAUGAUUAGAUGCGAUAUGCAAACUGCAUUUUCUGACAAUGGCCGCAGACCUCCAGCAUCCAAUACCAUAUCACAAUUAUUCAUGAUUAUCCAAAUAUGACAUGAUAAUACCUUCUGAGUUGGUGAUUCUCCAUAAUCCAGCAAUGGGUCCAGAUUCAGAUGAAGAGAAGGUUGCAAAGCUCUGAGAGUGCGAGACUCAACUUCCUGAACAAGAAUAAGAUAAUAAAUUUAAGCUAGGGACAAGAUGAUGGACUUAAAAGUAAAACUCCUUUAAAAUUUUUUCCGAGCAGAUUUACUUACCAACAUAUCUUUAUAUGCCCAAGAUUCAUUUGAUAUAGAAUCCUCCGCACACAUCUGUAGAAGCACUCUAUGAAUAGUUGGAGAGGUUUCAGCCAAAGCAGUACUUGCCUUCUGGGACAAACAAUUACAAUAAUCUCGAAUCUGCAAAAAUAUUAUCCGAGUUGUGUGACUUGCAGCAUGCCAUAUAAAAUGCAAAUAAUAUUUGCUCUAGACUUGUAGCACGCCAUAUAAAUGCAAAUAAUAUUGCUCUGGACUUGUAGCAUGCCAUAUAAAACACAAAUAAUAUUUCUCCAGUGAGGAGUGAUAUCUCCAUGGAGUGUCCCAAAUAAAACCUCAUCAUGUAACUUUACAUCAACAAACUACCAAGUCCGUAUAGAUACACAUAUACACAUCAAAUAUUGUAAUGCAGAGUGCAAGGAAGACACUCUUGAAAAAGGAGUUUUCAAAUGCAUAAAAUCUUUUAUAUUGUGAGCUCUUAGAACAAUUAAAUUUAUGCAACCUUCCCCUUUGUAAGGAGGAUCCUAUUUCCCUGGUUUGUCCCAUCACCUUCAGGCUACGUUUGGUUGGAUGUAAUACAAUAUAAUACAAUCAAUCAUUUAGUGAAAUGAAUGUUGCACCGUAAUUGCCAUUCUAUUACUCUUAUCCAAGGCACAAGGCGCUGCAUGUCAGGGACCUGGCAUCUCAACCACCAAAGGCGAGCGACCUACACCAUGUGCAACUAAUUGCACCUCAUACAGGUCAUCCUAGUGAGCACUAAUAAAAGGACAUUAAAAAAGCUACAUUUUGGUAGGAAAUAAUGGAAUGUAAAUGAUCAACCAUGUUAUAGAAUGGAUGUUGCAUUGUUGUGCAAUAUAAUCAUUAUUUCAGCAUUCUUAUCUUAAGCGCAAGGUGAUGCAUGCAAGGAACUUGGUGUUGCCUCAACCGUAUCCAAAGGCAGGCAACCAACACUAAGUUCACCCAAGCACGACUCUCACAUGUAUGCCAAUGAGCCCUAAUAAAAUGACAAAAGAAAGGUUGAUAAUUAUGAUCUCGUACCAUCAUCGAAAUUGAAGAAUAAGAACAACCUAGGCAGCUGCUUGUGCUAAUCCUAGGCAAACCAGACUCCAAAUAUAUAUAAGAAUUAUUUUCCUUGUUAUUUUUCCCUUUCCUUCUCUCAUUCCUCCACCCACUUGGAUUUCCCUCUUUCUCUUUGAUUACUUAAUUUCCUUCAUCCUAUCCUUUCCCUAUCAAAAUCUGAAAUUAGAUCCACAAUCCUUCAUUUUAUCACUUCAAUGUAUUAUUUGCAUUUUUGUGCCUCAACUCGCUCAAACACUCACCUGAUCCCGAGUCUUACUCCUAGACUCUAGGACUCCUUGGUGCCUUAGUGUGCCCUUAAUAUUACAUUAUAUUAGUUGCAAAAUGUAUGCCUGGUUGCAAGAUAAAAGUACAAAUAAUGUAAUUUUUUUUAUUUCAUUAUUUAGUUUUAUUUGUGAUAGUAACAACAAGAUAUUGGCAAUGGCUUUCUUGACGAGUGGUGGAGUGGUGCCUAGACUAGUCUUGGCUAUUAAUUGAUCUAAGCCGAUUCAAGGAGAUUUUUGUUAAGUCAGCUUGGACCAGUUUCUACUUCGAGUUGGACUGAUCCAGUUUCAAUCUAGAACUUAUACCAUAGACAUGACUACCAAAGACCCUACCAUGUUCCUAGUUAAGCCUGAUCAAAUUAAGUCUAAAAUUGAUCAAUAACUUGCAAGCGUGAACCAAGAAACCUCUCUCCUUAAAUAGAGUUGGAUUGAAACCUAUGAUGCAAGCUGACGAUCUAAACCAAUUUGAACCACUUCCUUUUUUAAAAAAAGAAAUAAAUUAUACAAAACAAAAAUAAAAAGAAAACCUCAAUCAUUGAUUACAUCCGAUUUGGAUAUAAUUAGAACCAAAUAGGACUAAACUUGAAUUGUCAAUUUGAAACCUUCUUUGAACUAGGUCCAUGUGGUCUAGCUCAGGGCCUUCCAUGCCAUCUCUAAGAAUUGGAUCGUAGCUGAGUAGGUGGUGGUGGUGAUGCGGCAGUGGCAGCAGCGAUUGUAGCAGUAGUGGAUUAUAGUUUACAAGCCUCAAUAUCAUGCUAGAACUGUUUUCCUUUCCUUUAAAUAAGAUGGAAUCAUCAUUUUUGUUUAUAGGAAAAAAAAAAGAAUUUAUAGUUGGAUUAAAUCAACCUAAUAAAACUGGAACUAGCAACAAAAUCAGAACCUUAAGGUUUGGUUGAAGGCCUUCAUUUUCACGUACUAGAACUACCGGUUCCAACACAAGAUCAAAUUGAAACUGAUAUUUAGCUAACUAGAUAUGGUUAAUAGUGAUAAUUACGCAUGGCCUUGAAGCUAAUUUAAUCUAAUUCAAUUUUGGGUUAAGAUCCAUUUUUCCUUUUAAAAAAUAAAGGAUUACAUUAGUUAGAUUUGAUUGAACUAGAAUAUGGGAGGCCCAAAAAUUUGGUCCCAAUCCCCUUGAACCAAUGAAUAGGAACUGGCUUAGACCAAACUAAUAACCAUGCCAAGUAGCAAAAAACAAUGAUCAAAACAAGUAAUCACAAUUGCAUGCAUUUUUUAUACUUAAAAGUCAUUAGGCUAAUCAAAUUAUAAUUGAUUGCAUAAUAUAAUUGACAUUCCAUUGCAUCAAAUCAUACUUAUAUAAUCAAACAAAGUUUGCCUUUUGUGUAGAGAUGGUUACAUAAAUUGAUAAGUAAAUGCUACAGAAACAAAUCAAAGAAAUGGACAUGUAACAAAAUCUAAACCAUCAUAAACUGCCAAAAAAAGCACUAAACAACAAAUAUAAGCACAAAAAUCCAUAACUAACCCAUAAAUUUUACCUCACCUCACAAAAAGCUGCUCCAUUGACAUACUUGCAAAGUGUUUGAUAAAAAAUUUCUCUAGGUAACCAUCCGUGUUCAAUGGCCUAAAUGCACGUGAAAAAAAUAUGAAAGAAGAUAAGCAAAAUGGAAUAUAAGAAAAGAGUGCAAAUAUCUUGUUAAUACAUAGACACUCACAUUUACACUAACAAACAAAAAAAAAAAACCAUAUAGAUUGUUUAGUGAGAAAAGGAAGACAACAAAGGCUAUCAAACAUAGAAGCUAGGUGGGGCCACAUCAACAACAGUUUAACACAAUAAUACUUCUUCGUUUUUGCUUUUUGUGAAUAAAUAACAAUAAGGCUUAUGUACAUCAAUCAUGCGAAUUGAAAGGCCAUUUCCCAAUUGAGAAGCCAAAACACCAUAUUUGAAGGAUGUCACAAGCUAUACCACCCAUUUAUUUUAAACCUCAUGGCAUAACACCUAAUAAUAAAUUCUGCAACAAAAAUUAUUGGCAAGUGAGAUAAAUACCUACAGGUAAUUGGAGGUGUCAAUUACACUUGCCAUAGAAAUUAUUUUUUACUAUGAUAGUUCAAAUAUACCUUCAAAUCGUAACAACUAUAGAUCUAAUAGAAAUUUGGCUGAAAUGUUGAGAGCAUUACUAUGAAAGUUAAGACUCUUACCAAACUAUGUAUACAGAUGUUGAUAAUAAGCCACAUGUUGGUAGCAAGUGUUUAAUUAUUGGUUACCAAACAACUAACAAAGUAAAUUAAAAGAAAUUUAGAAAAAAUUGAAUAUUCUAUCAAUCAAUGCAAUAUAAUAAUCCUAGACGUUUACCCCAGCACUUAAUAGAAAGGAAUAAAAAAGGUUGUCAAGCAAAAACAAAAUGUUUACUCCAAGUAAAAAGAAAAUAAUGAAGAGUAUGACAAUUGAAGGCUCUUACAGUGAAAAGGGCCUUUGAGUCUCUAUCAUCAGGAACUAAUUGCUUUGGUACAUCACUGAAAACCUGCAAUGAGUUUUUUUGAGAGCAAUGGAAAUGCAUACACAAAUAAUGUUAUAAAUGCCAAAAGAAAGGGUGGGAGUUUUUCUUCAUACGAAUGCUAACCCCCGUAGGCUUUCCAACCAAAAAGCCAUUUAGGAAUAGAUUUAGCAAAAAGGAUACCUCAAGAUCUGCAAUAAAGAAACUAUCAAAUUAGGACCUUUAAGAUCAUAAUAAACUGAAAAAUAGCCUAUAUUACCUUCUGACAUUUGGUGUAUUGCAGAUUCCGUCAAUUCCUUUGAAUGACUAGCAUCCUUAUCUUCUAAUUCAUUAAAUCUACCCUGCAUUAGAACAACUGGUGUUUAAUUCUGCUUCCAGUACCACAACUGUCAAUUUAAUAAAAAUCUUCAAACACACUAACUCUCUAGGGUUUUACAAAUGUUAAAAAUAUCAUGGUUUUUAUAAUUGCUGUAGUGGAAAAUGAUUAUAGACGGUAAAAACUAAGAUACGUAGAAACACCAAAAUCAGUAACUGCUUGUCACCCAUAAAUGACUACCAUCUAUAGUUAUUUGAUAGAACGAGCAACAUUAGAAAAUUACCCCAAUAAAUAAUAAGGAUAAACAACUUCCUUGCAAAAUUGUAAGAGGUUAGAAAAUAUAGGGAUUAUUUAAUUCUAUUGCACUAAACAAGACAUGCAAUGCAACAGAACAAACUAAAUGGAUAUCAGAAUUUUGUCUACUUUGAGCUAAUAUAAUAAUACACAGAAUAAAAAGAAUUAUCAUGAAAAAAUUUUAGAAAAUCAGCUCAAGCCAAGAGAAACAAAACCAAGGAAAUUGUCAAUUUUGUGAUAUGAAAAAUUGUGAUAAAUAAAAGUUCAUGCACAAAAAACCACAACUAAGAAAAAUUAUGCCCAAGUACAUAGUUCUGCUCUUGUAUUAUUUAAACUGAAUUAAAAUCAAAAUCUAUUCAAUACCUAAAUUUAUAAAUAUUAUAAGUAUUAGCAAAAUUAGCAAAGUUUUAUUAAAAAAGGUAAAAAAUAGUUUCACUUAUUACUAACUAUAUUCUAUUAUUGUGUUAUAAAUCCCAACUAAAAAAAUAAUAUUAUUUGAGGGAGGGGAAUCCUGCCCUUGGCAUGACAAAAGUAACUAAUUUAUAUUAUGCAGUUUGAGCCCGUAAACUGUUUUCGUGAAAUCUGUAUCAAAUAUAUAAGCAUUAGUAUAGGGAUUAUUUCAGAAAAAAAAGGAGGGGGUGGAGGCUGCAUUAUACAUAAUCAUAUAGAGAUCAUUUCAGAAAAAAAGGNNNNNNNNNNNNNNNNNNNNNNCGGCAUUUUGUCAAAUUAAAGGCUCCUUACAGAUGGCUUAAAUAUAUUAUAUAAAAUAAUUAACUACCUAGCUCAAUGAAAAGCAUAAGACUUUCAAGCCAAAGGAUUAAUCAACUGAAAAUACAGGGAGAAAGAGAGAACAACAGAAAUAUUUCACGGUUGCCUGAUAGCUGUUAUACCUUAUGCACUAGUAGGAUCUCUUUUUCUUUUCCUAUAUUCUAUUUAGAAACUCCAAAAGCUAAUCAGCUCUUAUUAUUUCCAUCGAGGCUUGGACUUUAAAACAAAAAACUUUUGAUAAAUCAACAUGUCACCGCCCAUGUUCUUUCUUUUGAAGAUAAUCAAACGCUUGUAACCAAUAUACCAUUCAACUUCCACCAUGUAAAACUCGAAAAGAUACCAACAAAAGAUUUGCACAUUUCAUCCAUAACAUCAUCCAAAACAAGAACGCACCCACAAGUGCACUUGCACCAAGCCACCAACAAGCCAAACACACUUGCACGUACAAAAUGAACCGUCAAUUCAAGAAACACAAAGAAGUAAACUUGAGCUCAAUAAAAAGAAAAAGCUCAAAUAUGCAUAUACCUCAUUAAGCCUCUCUUGGUGAUCAUUUCCAUUGCCAUUUUCAGUCUCAUCAAUCUGAAGCACCUUAGGCCUAUAUCUCCAACCCACCUUUGAAACCUUGAAGGACACAACCAUUUUACUCACUUCACUCAGGAAUUUCAACAAACACCUUGUUAAUGAAGCUACAGAGAGAAAAAGAAGCCAGGAAAAAAAAAAAAAGAGCACCUUUCCCUAACAAUGACUAAAACUGACGAGAGAGGAUUCAGAGGGAAGAGGGUGUGUGUGUUGUUGCUCCAUUGAGAGGGUCCAAAUUUAUAUGUUGGCCAAAUUUGCCAUGAAGAAAGAGCACGUAGGGACGUUAUCUUUUGCCCUUUGCUUCUUCGCUAAUUUACCUCUCAUGCCUGCUUUUGGUUUUUGUAUUUUAUUAUAUAUUUGACCUUUUGAGAUUCUCUUUUAAAUUUUUCAGGCUAAAUUCCAAAGCUUCUUUUGGCAUUUUUAUAUUGCAUGCAUGAAAUGUGUUGGAUGCCUGUUAUAGGACUUGGAUUUAUCUUUUCUUUCUUAAUAUAAAUUACCAUGAAAUUCAGACCUUUUCUAGAAAAUUUCCUAGUUGUUGCCUAUUUGAAAAUUUAAAUAUUUUAUAAAAUGAAAUUUUGUAGUUAUUCUGUUAAAAAAUUAACGUUAAUUACUUUAAAUUAUUAUAUUAUUUAAUUUCUAUAAUUUUAAUUAUAUAUAUUGUUUAAUUUAUAUAAUUUUAAAUAUUUAUGCCAUUUAAAUUUUUUAAUUAAAAAUAAAAUAAAUUAAUUAAAUAUUUUUAUAGAAUAUAUAAAAUGUUUGGUAUUGCAAAAUAUAAAAAUAUUUUAAUUGAUUGAUUUUAAAAUAAAAAUUAAUUAAUAAAUUUUUUAAAAAUUUAAAUAUCUCAUAAUAAUUUUUAAGUCAACAGUAUUUGAUUUAUAUUAAAAUAAUUAUUAAAUAUAAUUAAAUUUAAAAAAUUAGUUCGAUUUUAUAUUUUUAUUGAUUGAGUUUGAUUUUAAUUUUUAAAAAAUUAAUUAUUUAAUUUAGUUUAUUAUAAAAAUUAAUAAAAUUAAUAAAAUUAAAUCAAAUUGAUUAGUUAAUAAUAUUAUAUUAUUUUAAUAAUAUAUAUAAAUUAUAUUUAUUUUAAUUAAAAUUAAAAUAUUUUAAUUUAAUUUUAAAACAAUAAAAAUAAAAUAUAAAAAAUAAACUCAUUAAAAAAAUUUAACUAAUCAAAUUAAAUUGAAUUAAAUCUAUUUUAAUUAUAUUAAUUUUUUAAUUUAAUUUAAUUUAAUUUCUACGAUUAUUAUAUUUUUUAUUUUUUUAAUUUUAUAUCAAACCCACAAAAUAAUGACCUAAUAAUUCUUAUUUCACAAGUACUCAGAUCCUCAUCAUAUAUUUAUAUACGUCUUUAGAUGUUUUUUUAUGGAGAAUUGAAAGAAUUUUUAUUAAAAAUAUAAAUUUAUAAAACUUCAUAAUUUUAUUUAUAUAAAUAAAUUUAAAAUAAAUCACUUAUAAUAGUAAAAUAUUUGAUCAUAUUGAUCUAACCUAUUAGCUGUCUAUCACCGUUCAGCUCUGAAAUUCUCAUGCAAAUACAAUAUAAUAAUCAUUACAAUUUUAAUAAGCUAAGUAAAUCACAAAUACAAUAAUAUAUUCUAAUAUUCUAAUUUUAUUCAUAAUAAGCCAAGUAAAUCACAAAUAUAAUAAUAUAUUAUAAUAAUAAAUAUUUUUUUUAAAACAAAACUAUUAUUUAUAUUAAUAAAAUUCUAUCCAACGGAAUAUCUCUCAAAUACAUAGACGAUUAUACCUGAUAGAUUCUCUAGCCAAAGUAUGAACAGUUAUAAUAGUAUUACAACAAACUCAUUUAAUAAAAAUAUUAGUUAUAAAGUCUAACAAAUAUUUAAAAUCAUUCAAAAUCAAACUCUACAUAAAAUAAUUUGACAAAAAUAGUCUUCAAAUAUCUGUCUAAACGCCUGCAUAAAAUAAUUUAGCAAAAAUACUUCACUUUCUAUCUUAUUUCUCGAGUAUAAAUCAUUAAAGUCUCGAACAACACAACGGAAUAGAGUUUCUAUGAAAUAAAACUCGAAUAAAGUUUUAAAACUGACGUUGUCGUUGCGAUUCCGAAAACCUAACUAAUAAAUUUCCAUUGAAUAUUACAUUUCGAAACAACCGAAUUAAUAAAAUUUGAAAAAAAGUCAACCACGAAAACAAACUCAUAACUCUUCCACAUCAACGAAAGGCUUCUUCCAAUCUUUAUCUAUAUUGAUUGAGAAGUAACUAUCAAAAUGUAAAAAUUAACGAAAAAAUUCUGUAUGAGAACUAAGAGUUUUUGUUUCCAUGAAAAAUAAAAUGUCCAGUUUAUAACUAGAAACCAAAUCCUUUAAUACAAUAAAUGUCUGAGGAUUGCCGUCAUAAAUCUGCCAAGCAGGUCUACAUAUUCUGAAAAUUGAUUGGAUUACAUGUGAGAAAUAUUCUGAUCAUACAAAAAUCAUAAAUGACGAUCGAAAUAUUUUUAAAACUCUUAAUAGGGAUAACAACAUCUUCUUAUUUAUCGAUAGUCAAUUGACGUAAAUCGUUUUUCCUAAGGUAGGAGAAAGAAAAAGUUAGAUUUAAAAAAAGAAAAAUGCGAGCAUAUCGAAUUACAAAAGGAUAAAUUUUGCGUUUUCAAAACAUUUAUUAUAAGAAUGAUAAUAAAUAAUAUAAUUAAUUAUUAAAAAUAGAUAUAUUAUUGUAAUAAAUUAAAAUUAUAAUAAUAAAUAUAAAUAAGUGCACCGAUAAAAAUAUAGUUUUAUAAACAAGGCUUAAAUUUUUUUUAUUAUAAUACAAUAAUAGUAAGUAUAAUUAUUAUUGUCUAAAAUUUAUUAGAAAUUUUGAAUACACCUUUUUAUAAUACCUAUUUAGAGUGUUGAUUUAUUUAAUAUGUAAAUUUAAUUUAUUAUUAACCAUAAUUAAAUUUAAUUAGUGUUAAAUUUUGAUGUAAUUCGUAAUAUUUCUAAUUAAUUUUAAAUCAUUUGAUGUAUUUUGAGACACAUAAAUUUUGAGACACAUAAAUAUACAUAAUUUAUAAAAUUAUUUUUUAAAAAAUAUUAUUAUUUAUUUAAAAAUAAUAUUACUAGAUUGAAAUAAAAUUAUAAUUUUCAUGAACUGGAAUAAAUGAUAUAAAAUAUUAAUUUGAUUGGUUUUGAAAUUCUAAUAAAAUUUCAAAUCAAUAGCUUUAAUUAAUAUAAUAAAAUAAUAUAAAAUUAAUUUAAUUAACAUAUAAAUAUAAUAAAAUUAAUAAUAUAUAAUUAAUGCAAUAUAUUAAGUUUUCAGUAAAUUUAAUAUAAUAAAAUUAUUUUAAUUAGUUAAAUAAUAACUUCAAUUAAUUAAAAUAUACAAAUAUAAAAAAUCAUGUGAUUGGUUAAAAAAUAAUAACUUUUUUAAUUGAAAAUUAGAGAUCCAGAUACUAGGACAUGAGAUAUUUCAGAUUUAUUUAAAUAUAUUUGAUGACCGCUGGAUUUUUUUACUCCAGACUAAGGUCAGCCCUAUUAGGACGACCCAUAAUCUGAAGGUUUCUAAACCUCCCCCAAGAACCGGGUCCAGCCCAUUCAGCUCAAAGACCGAGCUCCAAUCAGCUCAAAGACCGAGCUCCAAUCAGCUCCUUCAGAACAGGCCGGCUUAGCUCUUCUGACCCGAUGGACGGAUUCUCUCCGGGCCUAGUCUCAACCUCAUCCCCCGGCCCAGCUCAGAAUCAGGAAGGAGUUCAGCCCCUUGACCUUGUGGGACCAUCCGCAUGAGCGCCCCGGAGAAAAUCAGGGGGCCGUUACGUAUGGGAUAGAAAUCUGAUUCCCUCGUACAUCCGUAUCAACGUAGCAGGGACAGGUGGUCCAAUAAUACACGUUCUGUUAAUACGUCACUAGCAACAGACAAAAGAAAACAUAUAAAAGAAGAAAUACUCUCCUCUAGGUCUAAGUUUUUCCAGUUUUACAUAACUUAUUGUAAAAUCCUAUUUUCUGAAUCUUAGAUCAUCAAUAUUUAUAACCAAACUAAAACUAUAAAUAUUAAAAAUAAUAAUUUUAAUUAAAUAAAAUGUAAGAGUUUGAGGUAAUUAAUUUUAAUUCAAAAUGAACUAUAUUUAUAAAUUUAUUAUAAUAAUGGAUUAAAUUUGAUUGAUUAAUAAUAAUAAUAAUAAUAAUAAUUAUAAUAAUAAUAAUGUGGUAAUUUACAUAACAAUGAAUAAAAUUUAAUUGUGUGUAUGGGAUACUCUGUACGAUUGAUUAUCUAUAUACUUUCAUAAAUUAAUAGACAUACUCAUUCAUUAUAACAUAACUCAAAUAUUUAAAAAAUAAUUUAUUAAAAAAAAAAAGGAAAGCCUAUAGAUGGUCGUUCUUGUAUCUGCCAUUAUUGGCUCGGUCUAAAAUGGCAACUACAUCUAUGUAUGUACAAUAUUAUUUUAAUUGGAGCUGAAUAUGAGUUAGAAAUUUUAGCUCAUCAUUUUUUUUAAAUUUAAAGUAUCCAAAUCUGGCAUUGUUUAUUUAUUUAUUAAAAUAAGAUAAAUAUAAUAAAUCUACAUAAUAUAUAAAUAUAUUUAUAUUUUUUAUAUAAAAAUUAAUAUAUUUAUAUAUCGAUUAAAUUUGGACGAGUCAAAUAUAAUAUUAUAUUUUUAUAUAUUUUUAUAUAUUUUAAAGAUUAUUACCGUAAUGGUAUAAAGCUAAAAGAUUUGGUAGAUGAGAUAAAUAUAUUGGAUUCUAUUAAUGUAUUUUUUUAUUAUGAAAUUUAAUAUUUUAAAUUAUAAAUUAAGUGUAUUGAAAGAAAUAUUGGCUUGAAUAAUAAUACUUUCUAUAUUUUAAUUAUUUCUUCCAUUUAUCAAUAAAGUUAUUUGAUUUUUAAAUAAUACUUUUAUAUAUAAAAUAAAAAUUUAUUAUUAUUUUUUUAAAAAAUAAAAUUAAAAAAAUAAAAUAUAAAAUCUCUUAAAUUUAUUUAAAAUAAUAAUAAUAAUUUACUAUUAUUAUAAUAUAAAAAUUAAUAUAUAUAUAUAUAUAUUAUUUGACUUACGGUUCACUGUGUGUUGAAUGGAGCUGCCCUUAGGUGGAUGGUUCGGUGAGAGAUGGCCCAUCAAUUUCGAGAUUCCAAAUCCUCUCCUCACGUGAUUUCACUUUUAUAUAUUUUAUUUUAUUUCCUUAAAAUUUUAGAAUUUUCUAAACUACCCUUAUUAUAUUUCAUUAAUUACAAAUUUAUUGUUAUUUAUAAAUUUUUAAUUUAAUUAUUUAAUUAUAUUAAUAUUUUAUUUAAAUUUAAAUUAAUUGAUAAAAUCUCUUAACAUUUAAAUUAUAAUUAAUUAGAUUUUAUUUAAAAAAAAAUUCUUAAUAUAUUUAAAUUACGUAUAUUCAAAUUUUAUUAUAAUUUAGACUAUAAUUUUUUAAAAUAAAUAAUUAUAGUUUAUUAUUAUUUUAAAAAAAUUAAUUUAAGUAUUUAAUUAAAAAAUUUUAGUUUAAUUAUUUAAUUAUAUUAUUAAUCUAUUUAAAUUUAAAUUGAUUAAAAUAUUCUUGAUUAAAUUUUAUUAUAGAAGAUAUUUUUUUAUAUUUAAAUUUUAUUUAUUGGAAUUUUAUCGUAAAUUAAAUUAUUUUUUAAAAAUAAUGAAUUUAACAAAAAAAUAGUAUAUUAAAAUAUAAAAAUCGUAGAUAAAUUAUAAUAGUUAAUAUUUAUGAAAUUAAUGUAUUUAAUAUUUAUUUUUUAGUUUGUCUAUAAUUUAUUAUAUUUAUUUGAAGUAGAAUAUAUUUAUAAUAUAAAUACAAGUGAGAUAAAUAUCUAUUAUUAUUAUUNNNNNNNNNNNNNNNNNNNNNNNNNNNNNNNNNNNNNNNNNNNNNNNNNNNNNNNNNNNNNNNNNNNNNNNNNNNNNNNNNNNNNNNNNNNNNNNNNNNNNNNNNNNNNNNNNNNNNNNNNNNNNNNNNNNNNNNNNNNNNNNNNNNNNNNNNNNNNNNNNNNNNNNNNNNNNNNNNNNNNNNNNNNNNNNNNNNNNNNNNNNNNNNNNNNNNNNNNNNNNNNNNNNNNNNNNNNNNNNNNNNNNNNNNNNNNNNNNNNNNNNNNNNNNNNNNNNNNNNNNNNNNNNNNNNNNNNNNNNNNNNNNNNNNNNNNNNNNNNNNNNNNNNNNNNNNNNNNNNNNNNNNNNNNNNNNNNNNNNNNNNNNNNNNNNNNNNNNNNNNNNNNNNNNNNNNNNNNNNNNNNNNNNNNNNNNNNNNNNNNNNNNNNNNNNNNNNNNNNNNNNNNNNNNNNNNNNNNNNNNNNNNNNNNNNNNNNNNNNNNNNNNNNNNNNNNNNNNNNNNNNNNNNNNNNNNNNNNNNNNNNNNNNNNNNNNNNNNNNNNNNNNNNNNNNNNNNNNNNNNNNNNNNNNNNNNNNNNNNNNNNNNNNNNNNNNNNNNNNNNNNNNNNNNNNNNNNNNNNNNNNNNNNNNNNNNNNNNNNNNNNNNNNNNNNNNNNNNNNNNNNNNNNNNNNNNNNNNNNNNNNNNNNNNNNNNNNNNNNNNNNNNNNNNNNNNNNNNNNNNNNNNNNNNNNNNNNNNNNNNNNNNNNNNNNNNNNNNNNNNNNNNNNNNNNNNNNNNNNNNNNNNNNNNNNNNNNNNNNNNNNNNNNNNNNNNNNNNNNNNNNNNNNNNNNNNNNNNNNNNNNNNNNNNNNNNNNNNNNNNNNNNNNNNNNNNNNNNNNNNNNNNNNNNNNNNNNNNNNNNNNNNNNNNNNNNNNNNNNNNNNNNNNNNNNNNNNNNNNNNNNNNNNNNNNNNNNNNNNNNNNNNNNNNNNNNNNNNNNNNNNNNNNNNNNNNNNNNNNNNNNNNNNNNNNNNNNNNNNNNNNNNNNNNNNNNNNNNNNNNNNNNNNNNNNNNNNNNNNNNNNNNNNNNNNNNNNNNNNNNNNNNNNNNNNNNNNNNNNNNNNNNNNNNNNNNNNNNNNNNNNNNNNNNNNNNNNNNNNNNNNNNNNNNNNNNNNNNNNNNNNNNNNNNNNNNNNNNNNNNNNNNNNNNNNNNNNNNNNNNNNNNNNNNNNNNNNNNNNNNNNNNNNNNNNNNNNNNNNNNNNNNNNNNNNNNNNNNNNNNNNNNNNNNNNNNNNNNNNNNNNNNNNNNNNNNNNNNNNNNNNNNNNNNNNNNNNNNNNNNNNNNNNNNNNNNNNNNNNNNNNNNNNNNNNNNNNNNNNNNNNNNNNNNNNNNNNNNNNNNNNNNNNNNNNNNNNNNNNNNNNNNNNNNNNNNNNNNNNNNNNNNNNNNNNNNNNNNNNNNNNNNNNNNNNNNNNNNNNNNNNNNNNNNNNNNNNNNNNNNNNNNNNNNNNNNNNNNNNNNNNNNNNNNNNNNNNNNNNNNNNNNNNNNNNNNNNNNNNNNNNNNNNNNNNNNNNNNNNNNNNNNNNNNNNNNNNNNNNNNNNNNNNNNNNNNNNNNNNNNNNNNNNNNNNNNNNNNNNNNNNNNNNNNNNNNNNNNNNNNNNNNNNNNNNNNNNNNNNNNNNNNNNNNNNNNNNNNNNNNNNNNNNNNNNNNNNNNNNNNNNNNNNNNNNNNNNNNNNNNNNNNNNNNNNNNNNNNNNNNNNNNNNNNNNNNNNNNNNNNNNNNNNNNNNNNNNNNNNNNNNNNNNNNNNNNNNNNNNNNNNNNNNNNNNNNNNNNNNNNNNNNNNNNNNNNNNNNNNNNNNNNNNNNNNNNNNNNNNNNNNNNNNNNNNNNNNNNNNNNNNNNNNNNNNNNNNNNNNNNNNNNNNNNNNNNNNNNNNNNNNNNNNNNNNNNNNNNNNNNNNNNNNNNNNNNNNNNNNNNNNNNNNNNNNNNNNNNNNNUAAGAUUUUUAAAUAAUAAUAAUAAUAAUUAUAUGUAUAAUAAAUAUAUAUUUAUAAAUAUAAUUUAUUUAUAUUAUACUGAAUAUUAAACAUAUAAUGCAAGUUAAUUAAAUUAAUAAUAAUAAAAUUGAUCUCUAUAAAUAAGGAUUACAAUUGAUAAAAAUUUUUAGAUAUUCAAUUUAACGAAAUUAUAAUAAAAUAGAUUUUAUUUAUUGAAUUUAGAUUUUAUUUAUUUAUUUAUUUUUUAAAUGGAAAUUUGAAUUUUAUUUAUAUAUAUUUAUUAUUUAAAUUUAUUUAUAUAAAUAAUUAAUUUAAUAUAAAAAUAUAUAUUUUAUAAUAAUAUUUCUAAAAUUUUGUAUAUAUUUUUAUUUAAAAAUUUAAAAUUAAUUUUUUUUUAAAAUAUUAAAUUUAUAAAUAAAAAUUAUUAAUAAAAAUAUUUUUUAUAUAAAUUAUUAAUUAAAAUAUAUGAGAUUAAAUGAUUUUACAUUUUAAUUAGGUAAUAAUAAUUAAUUUUUAAUUAAAUUUAAAAUGAAUUCGAAAAUUAAAAAUAUGAAUCGAAUUUGUUUAUUAUUAAUUUUCGAAUCCCUUCCAGACAAGGAAAAAACAAAGAAUUCUGAAGGGGUAAUCUGGUAAUUUGGGAACAAAUCCAACGGGGCUGUUUGGUAUCGCCGCAUGUCCCUUGUCCCAUUCACCCACCAAAAACUCCCAGCGGACACUCCGAGAAAAACAAAAGCCUCCGCUGCAUUUUCGCUCUCCUUCAUAAAUAAUAACACAAACACAAGCAGAAGAGCGAAUGAAAAGCACGCCUUGACCGCGAGAAAGCUUUUUUUAUCGUAGACGUCAGUUAUCAAACACCUUCCUUUCUCUCUAUCUUGGAUCUCGAUCUUCAUCUGCUCAUUGCUUUAGACGCCAUGGCUUGUGCUAGUUUCGCUAAACUAAACGCAGCGUCGUCCUCUUGGAUCGGCCAACAGUCCUUUGGUCAGCGACCGGGAUCAUCCUCAGCACGCCUUACCACUCGUCGAGUCUCCCUCCCGAUCCGUGCUAGUUCUUACAAGGACGAGCUUGUUCAAACGGCUGUUAGUUUAUCUCCUUUCCUUCUUCACUUUCUAUUGAUUUCAUGUGCCAUUUCAGUGCCUGAUAUGCGUUUUCGAUUUACAUCUCGUUUCGUUUUUGUUUUUGUAAUUUCUCGCUAAAUGAAGUCGAAUUUGAUUUAUUCUCUCGUAUUUUAUUGAAUUGUUCAAGUUAUCCUAUUCAGGAUUCUGUAAACUUUCAGCUCUAUCUUAUGAAAAAUAUAUAUUUUUUGAAUUAAUUGAUUGCUCUUUCUUUUGUGUCCCCCCCCUCCAACUCCACUAUUACGAUUAACAUUUCGUUUGAUGUCUCGAUAUAUUUUCGGUUUCUCUCUAUCAGUCAAUUAGUACUUUUAGCUUUUCAGUUUAACGAAAUCAUAACGGCUGAUAAUGGCAUACCUCUUUGAAACAAAGAUUACAAGCAUUGCAAAAAUGGGUAUCUUGUUAGACAAAGAGGUGAUGUGGUGAAAACUGCGGAAAAUGCCUUCUGUGAUCUCCAUGCAGUUGAUAUUAUAUUGGGAUCGUGAUUCAUUUCAAUCAUCCUAGUUUCUAUUAUUGAGUCACCUCAAUUCCCUAGUUCAACUCUUCCCAAAUAUGCUGCCUUAGAAAGUUUUCCUUUUCUCAAUUGAUAUAUGUAAAUUGGUUUAUGAUUUUUCAUUGUCUAUGAUGUUUCGUGCUAUCAACUGCCUUUGGCUUGUUUCUUGAUUGUGUAGAAAUCUAUUGCAUCGCCUGGUCGCGGCAUCCUCGCGAUUGAUGAAUCAAAUGCAACUUGUGGGAAGAGGUUGGCAUCUAUUGGCUUAGACAACAACGAGGUCAACAGACAAGCAUACAGACAACUCUUGUUGACCACUCCUGGCCUUGGUGAAUAUAUUUCUGGUGCCAUUCUUUUUGAGGAAACACUCUACCAGUCUACUGUUGAUGGAAAGAAGUUUGUGGACUGCUUGCGUGAUGAGAAUAUUGUACCUGGCAUCAAAGUUGACAAGGUAUAUUGUCUGUAAAAGUAAAGAUUGUAUAUCCAAACAAACAAAGCAUGUAUAAAGUUCAACCAGGAAUUAUUUUAUUAGUUGCUUAACCUACGAUUUUUCUAUGUUCAACAAGCUUAUAUAUUUUAACUACCUGCACAUCAGGGUUUGGUACCUCUUCCAGGAUCAAACAAUGAGUCUUGGUGUCAAGGCUUGGAUGGAUUGGCCUCAAGGUCUGCUGAAUACUACAAGCAAGGUGCACGAUUUGCCAAGUGGUGAGUCCAAUUUACGUACUUGUUAUGCCUUUGUUGAUCCUUUAUCCCCCUUAGGCAAUUGAAUAAAAUGUUUUAUUGAUUAUAUGAUACUAUUAUACAUGUUCAUAUGGAAUAUUCAGGAGGACUGUAGUCAGCAUUCCUUGUGGCCCUUCUGCUCUAGCUGUUAAGGAAGCUGCAUGGGGACUUGCACGUUAUGCUGCCAUUUCUCAGGUAUUCUUUCACUUCUAAAACCUACUUCUCUCUUGCAUUAGCUAAAACUCUUUCAACAAAGUUAGAAAUGCAUGCCUAUAUCAUUUUCCCUUUUGUUUGAAAUGCAUGUGGAGGGAUGCUUGUGGAUGUGGUUAUAACAUUGAUGAACUCUCUGUUGCAUCCUGUGGAGCAGUAAGAAAGUUAAAAUAUUGGCAAAUUGAUUGAAAUUUCGGUUGAGAUGAAAAUAAGUCUCAGAAGUUGAGCUCUUUCUUUUUCCUUUUAACUCGAUAAAUAUUUAUCUUCCAAUCCUUUGAUUAAUUUGUCUUGUUUUAUACAUGGGAGUAGAUUUAGGCUUGCUGCUCUUUUCCCAGUGGUCAGUUUUGUCAGCAUGCGAGUGCCAAAAAUUACAGAUUCUGUUUUUUCCUUACUGUAAUUUUUAUGUGCAGGACAAUGGCCUUGUGCCCAUAGUUGAACCUGAGAUUCUUCUUGAUGGAGACCAUGGAAUUGAGAGAACACUUGAGGUUGCAGAGAAGGUCUGGGCAGAAGUGUUUUUCUACUUGGCUGAAAACAAUGUUGUGUUUGAGGGCAUCCUGCUUAAGCCUAGCAUGGUAACACCAGGAGCUGAGCACAAAGAGAAGGCUUCUCCUGAGACCAUUGCCAAAUACACACUCACAAUGCUUAAGAGAAGAGUACCACCUGCAGUUCCUGGAAUCAUGGUAUGAAUACCUGAAUCCUGCUUUUUAUCAGGAAUUUAAAGUGAGAUAGUGUUGCUCAUAUGUCAGUGUUUCUCUUCUUACAGUCGUGAAUUUAAAUCUCGAGAAUCUUUUCAAGUGCCCAUGGGCAAAUAUCUAAUUCUUUUUAUAUAGACUUGGUCUUUUCGCUGGUGAAAUGAGAUAAGAAAAAGACAAUAAUUAGUACUUGAGUUGUUAAAAUGAGAUAAUAAUAAUAAUAAUGAUGAUGAAAAACCUGAAAAAUCUUAAACAUUAGACCAUAUCUUAUGCUUAGGGUGUGUUGUUUUGUAAAUCAUCUAAAAUUGUUGCUGUUGUAUGUGAUCGACGAGUUUCAUGUGUUUUCAAUUUGAAUAUUACUGAAUCUUUAAGAGCAACUAGUGUAACUUGUGUUCAUUUGUCAGUUUUUGUCAGGAGGACAAUCUGAAGUAGAAGCAACUCUUAACCUCAAUGCAAUGAACCAAAUCCCCAACCCAUGGCAUGUUUCCUUCUCAUAUGCACGAGCGCUGCAAAACACUGUGCUCAAGACAUGGCAAGGACGUCCAGAGAAUGUGGAAGCUGCACAGAAGGCACUGUUGGUGCGCGCCAAGGCAAAUUCCUUGGCUCAGCUCGGUAAGUAUUCUGGUGAGGGUGAAAGCGAGGAGGCUAAGAAGGGAAUGUUCGUCAAGGGCUACACCUAUUAAGCAUCAUUUAAACAUAGCAUUAGAUUUAGAUAAGCUUUUUAAUUUUGUUUACCCUAGUCUUUUAAGACUAGAGGCUUGAAUAACACAUGUGGAAAGAACAGUUUUUCCGAACUGCUACCUUGGAAGAGAUGGUUUAGUGAGAGAGAAGAUAUGUAUUCUUAUCAUCCUAAAUUAUUGUUGUUGAAAUUUUAUGAAUUCUGAGUGAGAGAUUUGUUUUGACCAUGUUUUGUCUCUCUUUGUUUCGGUUGGUAAGCUAACUUGGUGCUUAUACUCCCAUUGAAACCAGUUGGGUUAUUAUAAUCUACAGUAGAAACAUUUGAAAAACAGUGUUCUCUUAAACAUAAAAUUUGUUUGUCGUCAUUUAUAGAGAAUUUUAACUAAUAUAUUUACGUGAAAAUGGAGAAUAUUAUGAAUAAUCCCUCUUUUCUUGGAUAUUUUCUUAUGAAACUUUGAAAAUAUAAAAAUAUUUUUUAUUAUUAAAAACACUUAUUAUUAUUAUUAUUAUUUAAUAAAAAAAAGUAGGCUGAUUUUAACUUAAAUAAAGAGAUCAAAAUAACUAAUUAGUCCGAAAAGUUUACUUUUUUAAGCUCUGGCGGAAAGUUCAAUCGGCAAUUUUAGGUCCAAUCUAUUUAAGGGAAGAUUUUUCCCAUCCCCUAUAAAUUAUUUCCCAUCUUCGUAUUUAAGGACAAAAAUUUAAUACUAUGUUCUAUUUAAUUUGAUUCAAUUAAACCAGAUCAUGUAUAAAAAUUAUUAAAUAUUAUAAAAAAUAUAUAUGUAUUUUUUGAUUAAAAAGGAAAAAAAACACGGCGCUAAAAAAAGUAAUAUCAAAAAAUACACAAACAUCUUCACAAAGAUAUACUAUCUUUUAAUAUUUAAAUUAUGUUAAAUUAAAACUUAUUUUUCUCAUUAUUUUUUAAAAAAUGAUUUAACUAGUGUACCUUGAAUUAUUAAUCUUCAAAAAAAACAUAUGCUAUACUAAAUAUCGAUAGAGGGAGCUUUAAUCUAAUAAAAAUAAAAUAUAAACUAAAUAAAAAAUUAUUAAAUUUUAAAUGUGGUGCGGCACGUAUUAAUCUUUUAAAAAAUAUAUUUUAAUUUAUUAAAAAAUUUAUUAACGAGUCAUUUAUUUUUUAAGUAUUAUAUUAUUUAGUUAUUAUAAUAUAAAAAAAAUUUAAUUUUAUAAAAAAUAUAAAUUAAUUAAUUUUUUCAAUUGAAAAUAUUAUAAACUUUUUUCGGUAUUAAUGUUGAAAAUUAAUUCAAAGGUUAAUUAAUAUAUUUUUUUAAAAUUAAAGGAUUAAUAAUGAUAGUUUUCUUUUAAAAAAACUAAAUAUUAAAUUUUUCUUAAUUUAUUUUGCCAAAAAAGUGAUUUUAGCUUUCCUUAUAGUCUAGUAGUCUAGUACCAAAGACGCAGAGUAGAAGGCAACCAUUACUGACUCAGUUACCCAAAACUCAACGACACCGGUAACCACCGGGAUCAGAAACCGCUUUUCUACCAAAAUACAAAACGACGAUACCUUCGUCUCACCUGCAUGCUCCCUCAUCCUGUUCAUCAUAUUCUCCUCAAUCCGCCUUCUCUGCAAUUUCCUUUCACUUCACAUCCCAAAACCCUAAAACCCUCACUCUCCCCUUCCUCUUCCACCACCGCCACCUCCUCCACUAUAGUAAUGAAGGACCGACCGCCUUCCUCGUAUGGUGCUGUCUAUGUCCCACCUCAUCAACGUCUGCGCUCCGUCAUCAACGCGUCUAAUUAUAGCUCCUCCUCUGCUGUCCCUGCUUCUCCAUUUGACUCUAAAGUCUCCAAAAAUCAAAGCUCCGUUUUAAGCCAUAUACACAGCUCUCGUGUACCUUAUUUCCAGCAGCAGCAAGAGAAACAGCGGGGGAACGGUGUUUGUGAUAGCAAUCAUGUUAAUAAUAAUAGUAAUAAUCAUAAGUUCGUUUCUGCAUACGACGAUGGGAUCUCUGAGGAGGGAUCCGAUCGGGAGAUGGAAUGCUCGAUGGUUAUGCAUGUAAGUGAUUUAUAUGUAAAAAUUAUGGUGAAUGUUCGUUGCAGCCAACUGUGGUAUGGAAAGAACCAAGCCACUGAUAUGGCAGAAAGAACAAUACUUUUUAGCACUUGCCUUAGUUGCCUUUGGUCUGUAGUAGACAUAUCCCAGUUGUGUGAUGUCUAAGCCAGUAUUUUUAUGCAUCAGAUGCCUAUGUUCUAAUGUUAAUUGCAAGCAUUCAUGGGAUGCUGGAGACCCUUCAAAAGAUGUUUAAAAUGGUUAUUCUUCAUUAUAUAUUUGUCUCUGAUAUGGGUCUCUCUCUCACUUUUGGUUCAUAUUUUUUAUACAAUUUGGUCAUUGUCAUUUUUAACAAUAUGCAAAUUAUUACAGCCUUUGGCCUAUACUUAUUGAAUACUCGUAUUGUGUUCUCUUUGUUGCUUGAAAGAUCUGUAGUUAAUUUUCUGAGGAUAAACAGAUGCUGUUUUUACCCUUUUCUUUUUUUCUUUUGGUGGUGAGUAUUUACUGUUUAAGCUGUCUUUGUCAGGGGGCUUUCCUUUCUGAUAACAUGGAAGAGUGGAGGCGGAAGCUAAUCAUGCUUUUGCGAGACAAGGAGAAGCAAGAGUUGGUCUCAAGGGAAAAAAAGGAUAGACGUGAUUUUGAACAAAUAGCAACUCUGGCAAGCAGAAUGGGUUUGUAUAGGUAUCUUGUGUUUCAUCAGAAUAGAUGCUUCAGUCUGUUAAAUUUCACCAAUGAUCUCAAUUGAAAUUAUUUUUGCAGCCAUCUAUAUGUAAAAGUUGUUGUAGUUAGUAAGGUCCCACUGCCAAACUACAGAUUUGAUUUGGAUGAUAAGCGUCCGCAGAGGGAGGUAUUUUCUCCUAGUACCAUCAUUUUAAAAAUUUUGCUUCUGGAUGAUAAAAUUUGGUGAUGCACCAUAGUAAUGCUUCUGUUACCUUCACAAGCAAGCUAUAUGUAGCUCAGACACUUGGACACAUUUGUUUAUGCUUUUGUUUUCCCAGCAGAAACUGCCUCUCCUCCUGCUCCACCUCUCCACUUGACAAUAUUGUAUGCUUCAAUAAAUUCCAAGCAAAUGAAUUUUAUUUUGAUUGAUUAUUUGAGUUCCAUUAUUAAACACAUGCAUGUUUUCAGAGGCCCCUUUGUCACAGGUUGCUUCUGCUCAGUCUUUUAGCAUGUACUUGAAAAUUCAUUGUCCUCCUGGGUUAGGAACCAUGUACUUAUUUCCCAUACGUUGAACUUGAGUAACUUUCUUGUAUAUUAUUCAUAAGCAUUUACUGAAUAUUUCAAAAAUUGGCAGGUGAGCUUGCCCUUUGGUUUGCAAAGAAGAGUUGAUUCAUAUCUUAGAGAAUAUCUCUUUCAAAAGUCCAAGACUAAGGAAAGAUUUCCAGAUAUUUCCUUUUCAAGAUCAAGCAGCAGCAGCAGUCUAGCUACUGAUGAAGGGCUUUUUGAACAACCGGAGCUGCCGGUUUCCAGCAAGGCUGUAAUGGAUAAAAUUCUAUGGCAGAGAAGUUUGCAACUGUGCAAUCAGCAACAGGCUUGGCAGGUUCGUGCUACCCUGAAAAAUAUGGAACUAUGUUAUAUUUCUGUUGUUCUCUGAACCUAUCCUUGUUUAACUUUUCUUUUUAAUUCAGAAACAAGCACUAUCUUGGGCAAUCAUGUCUCAUAGGUUACUUUGCAUAUAAUAAUAUUGCUUAGAAACUCUGGAAGGCUACUUAAUAUCGCCACUUCAGUAUUUUAAAAGCAUACGGCUUAGCUAGUCACACCAGAGGUGAUUUUUAUAAUUGAUCUCGUUUUACUUCAUUAUCUGCCUUAAGUAAAAUCCCAUGGAAAACAAUUUGAUGCUUUUUACAACCUUGAACUGAUUGAUCUGCUUAGGGUUUAAACUGGUGGUUACUUUUCUUCCAUGUUAUAAAAGGACAUAGGUUAUAUGGGGCACAUCAUGUCAAGUUUGAUGAAAGUGUUUUGCAGUUGAGGUUUGGACCUCCAACCUGGAAGGUGUGUGUAUUGUUGUCUAAAGCACUGCAAGGAGAAUAUCUGAUUCUGAUAGUAUGCUUCAUUGAUUUUUAUUGAAAUACAAAUUGGAUAAAUUAGAGGUGCUUUUUCCCUUUUUCUUUUCUCCAUUUUCCUCCUAAUCUUAAAUGACCAUGUUGAGAUACUUUCUGUAAAUAGGCUAGAUUUGCGGUUAUUGUGUGCUUAGAUUAUGUGAUAUGAUUGGGAUAUGAUUAGGCUAUAAUUAGGGAAUUGAUUUAUUUUAUUUUCUAUUGUAUAUUCUUAUAAGUAGUAUAUGUACCCCAAUUGAUUUGAGGGGAAUCAUCAAGCAUCUUUUCCUCAAAAAGUCCUUGAUUUCCUCUCUUUUUCAUCAUUGUUUCAUGGUAUUAGAGCUAAGAAACUUGGCCUAGCUGUGAGUGGCAACCUUCGUUUGGAGACUUUCUGAAAAUUAUUUGGUCUAAUCACCUAGCCCACCAGUCUCGCCGACUUUCAAUUGGCGACCCUGUGAAGCGCCGCCACCAGAAGCGGCUCCACGCGCCACCCAACCUUUCUAGCUCCGGUAUACGAGCUGGUGUGUGAAUAGUUCUCCGGCGAAUUUAACGCACGAUCCUUCCUCUAGCAUCGCUAGAGACCGGCGACUCUAGCCCACUCGAUCCGGUCACCUGCCCAGCUAUCCUUCACAUGUUCCUUGUGAACAGUAGCUUCGAAUCUAUUGUUCACGGUCACAGAUUCUUUUUUUUUUUUUCUCCUGCAGAUUCAGUUCCCAUGGCCCAAUCAAAUAUUGCUCAUUCUCAUAAUUCAUUUGCUUAUCUAAUCAAGUCUUUACUUAUUGGUUCAUGGAUCCUCGACUAUGGUGCUGGUGCUUCUGAUCAUAUUUCUGGUAAUCACAAUAUUUUCUCUACUCUUGUUUCACUUUCUACACCAUCUAAAGUCACAUUAGCUAAUAGUUUACAAAUUCAAGUUAAAGGGAUAAGUAACAUAUAUCUCCUUCCAUCCCUUCUAUCCUCUUGACUACUGUUUUAUUCACCCCUGCAUGUCCAUACAACCUAAUCUCUGUUAGCAAAUUGACUAAAGAUCUUAACUGUUCAGUCAUCUUUAUUGCUGAAUCUGUGGUUGUGCAAGACCGGAGUACUGGAAGAUGAUUGGAGCAGGAUAUGAGUCAUAAUGAUUGUACUAUUUUUUCACUUCUAACCCUCCAACUUUUUUGUGUCUACUACUUUCGCUGAACUCAUUCAUAGUCGUUGGGACAUCCAAGUCUGAACAAGUUACAAAAACUGGUUUCUAGUCUUUCUUUCUUGUCUUCUUUAGAAUGUGAGUCUUCUCAAUUUGGGAAGCAAAUUCGAGCUUCUUUUUCCAAGCGAGUCAAUAAUAAGGUCAUUUCUAUGUUUGAUAUUGUUCGUUCAGAAAUUUGAGUUCAACUCGGGUUAGUACAACUCAUAAAUUUCAAUAUUUUAUUACCUUUAUUGAUGGCUAUUUUCGUUGCACUUGACUUUUUCUAAUGAAGAAUCGUUUUGAGUUGUUCUCUAUUUUUAAGAAGUUUUAUGUCGAAAUCCAUAAUUAAUUUGGUGUUCGCAUUAAGAUAUUACGAAGUGAUAAUGCAAGGGAAUAUUUGUCUUCCUCAUUCACUCACUUAUUGUCUACUCAAGGUAUUAGUCACCAGACUUCUUGUUCUCAUACCUCAUAACAAAAUGGGGUUGCCAAGCGAAAAAAUCGGCAUUUGAUUAAAACAACUCGCAUCUUACUCCUACAUCACAAUGUUCCAUUACGUUUUUUGAGAAAGCUGUCUUUAAUGCUUGUUACUUGAUUAAUCGAAUGCCUUCCUCUGUUUUGCAGCAUCAAAGUCCUCAUUCUGUUUUAUUUUCUAAUCAGAAUUCCAACCAGUUAUCUUUGCGAGUUUUUGGAUGUGUAUAUUUUGUUCAUGAUCAUACUCCUAGCAAAGACAAACUCCAGCCCAAAUCAGGUAAAUGUGUCUUUCUCGGUUAUUCAUGGCUGCAAAAAGGUUACAAAUGCUAUGAUCCUACUACUAACAGAUAUUUUGUGUUUGCAGACGUUACCUUUUUUGAAAUCUCUCCUUACUUUUCUUCUAGUCCAGCAUACAAAAUCUUUGUUCCUAGAGUUUUGCCUAUACCUUUGACUCUUAUUUCUCCUUUGUCUCAAGUGUGUCCAUCUCUCACUUCUACGCCACCUCUUCAGGUCUACACACGUCGGCCUCAUCCAUCUGCUAAUAAUACUGAUAUUUUUUCCCCUGAUGCAGGUACUUCUAAUGACUCACUUCCUGUUCCAUAAUCACCUAUUUCGGUCAUGCCUUUAGCAGCAACAGCUACUCUUCCUCUUGCUCUUCGAAAAGGCAUUCGCUUUUCUCAAAAUCCUCAUCCCAUUUAUAAUUUGUGAGUUACUAUCGUUUGUCUCCUUCCUAUUAUAUUUUUAUUUCUACUAUGUCUGCUGUCUCUAUAUCCAAGACAAUUAGAGAAGUAUUGGAUCAUCUGGUUGGUGUAAUGCAAUAGUUGAGGAGAUGAUUGCUCUUUACAACAAUGGAACUUGAGAAUUUGGGAACUGGGAAACUGAUAUCCUUACUACCUGGCAAGUCUACUGUUGGUUAUCGAUGGGUUUACACAGUUAAGGUGGGACUUGAUGACAAAAUUGAUCGUUUUAAAGCUCGUCUUGCAGCUAAAGGUUACACAGAUUUUUAGGCUUGAUACAGUGAUACUUUCUCUCCGAUAGCCAAAAUAGCUUAUGUUUGCCUCCUUAUUUCAUUGGCUGCAAUUAAACACUGGACCCUUCAUUAAUUGGACAUUAAAAAUGUCUUUUUUUCAUAGUGAGCUCGCCGAAGAAGUUUAUAUGGAGCAACUUCCCAUGUUUGUUGCUCAGUUAAGGUGGGAUCUGAUGGCAAAAUUGAUCAUUUAAAAGCUUGUCUUGUAGCUAAAGGUUACACAGAUUUUUAGGCUUGAUUACAGUGAUACUUUCUCUCCGAUAGCCAAAAUAGCUUAUGUUUGCUUCCUUAUUUCAUUGGCUGCAAUUAAACACUGGACCCUUCAUCAAUUGGACAUUAGAAAUGUCUUUUUUUCAUAGUGAGCUCGCUGAAGAAGUUUAUAUGGAGCAACCUCCCGUGUUUGUUGCUCAGAGGGAGUCAGGCUUAGCAUGUCGUCUUCGACACUCUUUGUAUGGUCUAAAACAGUCUCCAAGAGCAUGGAUUGGACGAUUCAACAUUAUAGUUCAAAAGUUUGGAAUGUCUCGAAGUAAAUCUAAUCAUUCUGUAUUUUUUUUGUCAUAAUGGUGAUUGAUGCAUCUAUUUGGUAGUAUAUGUUGAUGAUAUUAUCAUUUCUCAUGCUGGAAUCUCUCAGCUUAAGCAACAUUUUGUUCAGACAUUUCUAAAUUAAAGACCUAAAAAAAUUGAAAUAUUUUUUUGGGAUUGAAGUGGCAUGGUCUAAAACAAGUAUUGCAAUUUCUCAACGUAAAUAUGUUUUGGAUAUAUUGGAAGAACAUGCAUGCUAGAUUGUAGACACGUGGAUACUUUCAUGGAUCCAAAUGUCAAACUUGUUCCUGAAAGGGGAGCCACUUAAAGAUUCUGCUAGAUAUAGAAGAUUUGUUGGCAAGCUCAACUAUCUCACUAUCGCGCGACCAAAUAUUUCUAACUGUGUGUAGUCAAUUUCUUCAAACCCUAUAUAGCAGUCACUGGGACGCAGUCAUCCGCAUUCUUAGAUAUAUCAAAGGAGUUCUAGGACAGUUUAUUUUAUGAGGACAAGGGUCACUCACAAAUUGUUGACUAUUUUGAUGUAGAUUAGGCAGGUUCCCCUAUUGUAUUAUGAUUGGAGGGAAUUUUAUAUCUUGAAAAAGUAAAAAAAAAAGGGCUGUGGUUGCAAGAUCAAGUGCAGAAGCGUAAUAUGGAGCUAUGACUUUGGCAACAUGCGAACUCAUUUGGUUGAAGCAACUCCUUUGGGAAUUGAAGUAUAGCAACACCGGCCAAAUGAAGUUGAUAUGUGAUAAUCAAACAGCUCUCCAUAUUGCAUCAAAUCUAGUUUCUCUCAUAAUCUAGUUUUUCAUGAGAAAACGAAGCAUUUAGAGGUGGAUUGUCACUUUAUUAGGUAAAAGAUUCAGUUGGGAUUAAUUUCUACUAGUGUUGUCAACUCAAAUGAUCAACUAGCUGAUGUUUUUCAUAAAAUCUCUUUGAGAUUCACAAAUUGAGUAUAUUUGUAACAAGCUUGGAGCAUAUACACCCCAACUUGAGGGGUAGUAUUGAGAUACUUUCUAUAAAUAGGCUAGAUUUAUAGUGAUUGUGUGAGACUAUAAUUAGGGAAUUGAUUUAUUUUAUUUCCUAUUGUAUAUUAUUGUAAGCAGUAUAUAUACUCCAAUUGGCUUGAGAGGACCCAUAUAUAAGAUACUGCAUGCGUGUAUUAAUAUUUGAUCAAUUUCUCUAUUGUUCACUAUUAUAUUGAUUUGAUAAAUUAUGAAGUUCAUAUUAAUAGAGUGGAGGAAACAAUUUGCAUAUCUUCUAAAAAAGCCCCUCUUCAAAAGCUAAAUGAAGGACAUUGCGAAGAGGCCCUGAACACUCUGUUGUCGCACAGUAAACGCUAUGUUAGUAAUAUUAAAGCUUUUUAUGAAUAGAUAACAUGAAUUUAGAAUAUCUCAAAAAAAAAAGAUAACAUGAAUUUAGAAGAAAAUGCUAUUUUAGAAUUAGUUUUUGUCAAGCAAAAAGGGGAAAGAAAUUUGGGAUUUUUGUAUAAUAAUGUAAAAUUUAUUUAUAUACCACCUUUUCAUUUUUAUUCUGAUUAUAUUAAAUUUAUUAUUUCAUGCAAAACUUGGAUGUUAAAAUGUCUUUUCAGGUUUUAAGUCAAUCAGUCUUUUCUAUCAUUCUUUCUGAUUGCCAAUCUUUAAGUAGGUACAGUUUAAUGUUUUAAUUUUAGGAUUCUCCAGAAGGCAGAAAAAUGCUGGAAUUUCGGAAAAGUCUCCCUGCCUAUAAAGAGAAAGAUGCUAUCUUGACUGCCAUUUCACAAAAUCAGGUAUGAAAAGUUUACUAUAUUGUUCUUUUUAGUAGUUCUUCAUGCUGACUUUUUGUGGACAUCUAGGUUGAAUUUAGAUGGCUACUUUGUUUGAGAAUUGAGCAUAUUAAGUCUGAGUUGGAUCUCAAAAUGGCUAUGCGCUUUCCUUUUAUAAUCAAUAUUAUGCAAGUAUCAGUUCAUUAUUUUAUGAUGCCUAGAAUUUUGAAUUUUGCAGGUGGUCAUUAUCUCAGGUGAAACUGGUUGUGGCAAGACCACACAAAUUCCCCAGUUCAUAUUAGAAUCUGAGAUAGAAUCUGUCCAAGGAGCUGGUUGUAGUAUUAUAUGUACACAGCCAAGACGAAUAUCUGCCAUGUCUGUUUCUGAACGAGUUGCUUCAGAGAGAGGGGAGCAGUUGGGUGAAUGUGUGAGUGCUGUCUCAAACAUGGUCUGGGAUAAUUUCCCAGAUUACCACCUUCUGUCAAUAAGAUCUUGAAAGAUAAUUGAAUAUGAUCUUUUUCUGUUCUUAUCUUUAAAGGUUGGAUAUAAAGUUCGGCUUGAAGGUAUAAGAGGAAGAGAUACUCGCCUUCUGUUCUGCACCACAGGCAUCUUGCUGAGAAGAAUGCUUGUUGAUAGAAAUUUGAGGGGCAUAACUCAUGUUAUUGUGGACGAGAUUCACGAACGUGGAAUGAAUGAGGGUAAACUGUUAGUUCUGAGUUGAAUUUUGUGAAUGGAGGAUAUGUUUUCCUCUAAUUUAAACUUCUUUUCUUUAUUCACUAUUAGAAAUUUCUUCAUUUAUCUUAAAAAUAAAGUGAACUGCACUCUGAGCCUUACCAUGAAGCUUUGAUGCCAGACUUUCUGCUUAUUGUCCUUAAAGAUCUCCUUCCCCACCGGCCAGAACUGAGGCUGAUUCUGAUGAGUGCAACCCUCGAUGCAGAGCUUUUCUCAUCCUACUUUGGUGGAGCUCCAAUACUUCGCAUUCCAGUAAGUGUAAAUGAAUAUGCCUUAUUUUAUAUUGUUAGCGCAAGCAUAUUCUGUUUAGUACUCAUGAUGGUUUCUAGGCAAAUUUGUAGUGACAUCCUCCAUCUACAUGUUGAUAGCAUGUGAAACGUGAAUAUUGUCUGUUGGUGGGAUGCCUGGAGUUUGAUCCUUGGGCUAUGCUCGAACUAAAAUAUUUAUUAAAACAUCACCUAAUGAUAUGAAAACUUUUCCCAUGGAUUUGUGAUAAAACUAAUCUAAUAUAUAUAAAGCAGGCCAAUCACUCUCCUGGUGCUGCCACUUGGUUGGCAGUGGCAUUUACUGUAAAGAUAUUGACCAGCUUUAAUAAUUAGUUAGUUGUUAUCUAUUAUGCUAGGUAUUUAAUUCUAAUUUUUUCUUUUUAGUAUCAUUAUUAUUGCCAUUACUACCUAGAUUUUCUUGAUUUAAAUGAUUCCAAAAAGGUCUUUGUAAUUAAAUUUAUCAUUUAAAAUUUUAUUACAAUCAAAUUUAUUAUUUAACAUUUUAUUGUAUUGCUCUUUUUUCUUAAAAGGCAAAGAUAGAAAUAUAUUGUUUGCUCUUUAUUGUUCAUCAAUCCCACAAUACACGUAUAUUUAUCUUGCAUCUUUGUUUUUCAUUUAUCAUUUUUUUUUUCUCUUUCACGAGUUCUUAAUACUCUUCAUCAAAUGUUGUGCAUUAAUUUUGUAUGCUUAGUGAAUAAAUCUUUACUAAUAUCAGUUAAAAUCACAUUUUAGUAAAUUAAUUUUGGUUGGGAUUGAUAAUUUAAAUAAAUAAAUAUGAAUUAAGAUUUUUGGAACUCAUAAUUAUUAUAUUUGGUAAACAUAUUUUCAUUUAAAAUGUAAUUGAUGAAUAUUAUAUAUAUAUAUAUAUAUAUAACAAACUACAAAUUGAAAUAUCAAAAUUAAGGUAACAAGAUUGGAAAAAUCCAAUUUAGAGUUUAUUUGAGUUGAGGUGAGACUAUCAAAAUUAUAAUGCGAUCAAUUUUUAUAAUCAUAAAAAUUUUAUUAAUAUCAAAAUUGUUUUACAUGAUGAGAAUAGUAGAUAUAUUAAUUAAUUUUAAUUAUUAAAUUUCUAAUUAAGUUCCUAUUGAACAGUUAUUAAUUCUUUUUUGUAUUUCAAUUAAUUAUAAAAUUUAAGAAUUUAUACUUUAAAAUUGACAACAAAUUUAAAAUUAUAUUUACAAAUAUAAUUGUAAAUACAUUCUACACUCCACAAACAUUUAGCUAGUUCAAGCUUAUAGAGAUGCCAAGUUGUUCCUAUUUUAAUUUCAUAUAUUUCAUUUAUUGGGAUGUCCAUCAUGUUCUUAGAUUGGUUGGGCUAUGCCUGGUUAUCUAAUGCAUCUACAAAUUUCAGCAUUUAAACAUAUUAUUAUGUAUGCGUCCGAUUUGUUUAAUUUCUGGAAAAAGUUAUACAGGAUCCUGAGGAUGACAGUGUGGUCUAAUCAGGGGUAUUUUUCUUCUUUGUGGUUUUAUUGUCCAAUUAGGGUUUUACAUACCCAGUUCAAACUCAUUUUCUGGAGAAUAUCCUGGAAAUGACCGGUUACAAAUUAACCUUACACAACCAAAUUGAUGAUUAUGGCCAAGAGAAGGUGUGGAGGACAAGUAAACAAGCUCCAGGAAAGAGGAAGAGCCAAAUUGCUUCUUCUGUUGAGGUAUAGGAAGUUAUCUUGGAUGGUAUUGCUGCUUUUGCAAUAUUCAGUCUUUCCUGAUUUCUUUUCUCAUUUUGGAAACAUGUAAUCAGGAAGCACUAAGAGCUGCUGAUUUCAAGGAGUAUAGUCCCCAAACUCGAGAGUCUUUGUCAUGUUGGAAUCCAGAUUGCAUUGGUUUUAAUCUCAUUGAGUAUCUUUUAUGUAACAUAUGUGAGAAUGAGAGGCCUGGUGCUGUUCUAGUCUUUAUGACUGGGUGGGAUGACAUAUGUUCUCUGAAGGAUAAGCUCCUAUCACAUCCUAUUUUAGGAGAUCCAAGUCAAGUAUUGUUGCUCACUUGUCAUGGUUCUAUGGCUAGCUCAGAGCAGGUAAAUUUCUUAUUUCAAUUUAAUUAUCCAAUUGCUUAUUUCAAUAAUUGCUUAGUUGUUUGUAAAGUAUGUGUUGUAGCAAAUUAAUAACCGACAACUAAUGCUUGCUAUAAUUAAUAUUUAUCUGCAAAAAAAGCAGUAAUAACAAGGUGGUAUUGCUUAUUUUGCUGCUUCUUGCUUUGAUGUUUUUGUUAUUUUAUUAUUGUACGGAAAAUUUCAUCCUGUUUCUACUUUUGUGUUUCUUUCUGAGAUAAUUUUGAGAAUGAUUUUUCUGGCCGUCUCCAGAGAUUAAUAUUUGAUGAGCCCAAUGAUGGUGCGAGGAAAAUAGUGCUAGCUACUAAUAUUGCUGAGACAAGCAUCACAAUCAAUGAUGUUGUUUUCGUACUCGACUGUGGAAAGGCAAAGGAGACUUCAUAUGACGCCCUGAAUAAUACUCCUUGCCUGCUUCCUUCCUGGAUUUCCAAGGUUUCUGCUCAACAAGUAAGGUCUUCUUAUGUUGGGCUUUUGAUCUAUAAGAUGGAUUCAAUUUUGAUUAUUGAUGGUCUAGUCAUGUCAUUGAAAUAAAUAGUGCAAUGCAGGGAUCUGUGGAGGCCUGUGUUUCAUGAAGUUGCUUUAUUCUACAAUAGUAAGGCUACUAGAGCCAAAAAAAAAAAAAGUGAUUUGUACUUCCUCUUGCAUACACACUUGUAAUCCAAAAAAAAAAAAACAAGUUGGUGGGUGGUUGCAGAGAUAUAGUCAAAUUUGUCUAGGACCUUCUUUCUACAGGUCAUUUUGAUUAUUAAGAUAGAAAUAGAAACACAAGGAGAUUAAAAAGUGGGAUAUGAGGAUUACUGCAAGUAACUAAGAAAACAAUCCAAAUAUAUGGACAUGUUCAUAUUAUAAUUAGGCCAAAAAAAAAAACUACGUUGAAAGCCAUAUAGAAGUCAUAUAGUCAGAUCAACAUCUAAGUGUAUUUGUAACAUUUAGCUUUGCUUAUUUAUAUUGUCUUGUUAUUAACUGUUCUUUGUAGAAUAUUCAGUGUCUUCAUAUAAUUUUUUCUGGUCCUAAUUAAAAUUUUCAUUUCUCCCACAGCCCCGCCAAACAAACAUAAGUUAUUUACGAUCACCUGAUUGUAAACUGUUUUUAUGGUUGUGCAAACUUUUGCAUAUUAAAUCAUGCAGGGAUCAAGACUGUUUAAAUGGUGGUGCUAACUGUAGACUUUACAUGAACUAAGGGUUGGAAUGAUGUGCUUCGAUCAUAAUCAAAAUUUAGCUUCUAUCAUCUUGUUGAAAACUAUUUCUGUGGUCAUGCAGUUUUUUGUGAGUUGCCCACACUACUGGCUAAAAUGGUUCAAGGAUUUCAUAGUUCAAAGUUCCUCCUUAGAUCAACUAUAAAUGAGGCCCUCAAAAGAUUAGAUUAGAGCAAAAAUAGUUGGUCUACUGGCCCCUUCCUUUUCAACUAUAUCAUCCAAUUUCACAUUUGAAUCAAUUUGGUUGCUCUACCCAGAUCCGCGUACAUCCAGUGCCUUCAGGUUCUGGUGUUAAUGUAGCAAGGGCUAGUGCUGUUAAGCACUAUUUGCUCCGUCUGGCCAUAAUUGAAACAAGAUGAUUGAUUGACAGUGUAACUGAAAUGAAAAAAGAGGUCAAAAUUGAAAAUCCAGCUAAAAGUUUGGAUUUUCAGGUUAGAAACUCAAGAAAAGGAAGUGAAAGAAGCUUGAGAGAGGAAUAACCCCUCUCUCUCUCUCUCUCUCUUUCUCUCUCUAUUGGAGAUUUGAUGUGCUUAAUGAGAUCAUUUCUGGUUCGUGGUAGAAUUUUUAUUAUGCUUUAUAUGUUUGUAUCAUUCUUAAAUGGUACCAUCAAGGCACAUAAACUUGACUAUAUAUUGCUUUUACUGCAUAUACUGUAG